GCUGGGGUUCUACUUUAAAGUCGUGGUCGUGGACAAUUUGGGAUUUAUUAAGGAAUUUUUGUAGUUGCUAGGCUGUGGUUCUAUGUGCUGAGGAGGGAGGCGUUGCUGCUCAUGCUGCUGUUGCUGGAGUCCUCACUUUAUUUGUUAAGACUAUGUAAUGACCGAAUGAUGUUAUUUGUUUGUGUCAUCCUUGACUCUUUACCUACCGCAUGUAAUCCUGCAAUCGGUACUUUUAAUGCUAUCGUUAUUAAAAACUGUUUACUCAUGUUUUAGCAAUAACCUAUCCUUAUUAGUCAAAGGGAGUAUUUAUCUACUUAUGACCACUCGCAUGUUGCUAUUUGGGUUUCAGGAUUAUACUUUCUGAAAUUCCUAUUCUCUGUACUGAGUGAAACUAAUAUACUGGGUUACCUGUAAAUCCUGUCAGUGUAACUUGAAAAGGAUUCUCAUCCUCCCAGAGAGAGUAAAUAGAGAUGGUGAAAUGUCAUCCUAGUUGUUAGGACGGAGCUCAUCAGAUCUUUUCCCCCUUUCACACCAUUUUGUUAGCGUUGUGCUUGAGUGAGAGGCUACUGAUAGCGCUGCUGACCCUUCCCAAACCUUGGACGCCUGCUGAACCUCGUCUGGUUGCAGCUGGGUGUUGUGCCGAUUCCAGCUUGGCCUGUGCUGGUUGCAGCAUCUCGGCCUGUCCCUGCAACCCUCUGCUUGCUGCCCCUUGCAGAACCUCGUCGUGUGCAGCUGGACGUUGUGCUGAUGCUUAACCUGUGCAGCUUGCAGCUGUGCUGGUUGCAGCAUCUCAGCUUGUCGCUUGCAGCUGGUUACAACAUCCCCCAUGACGUAGCAGUGGCUCAGGCGCUUUGCAGUAAAACUUCUCGCAGGGAAAAACCGCCACCGUUGCGGAUUCCUCCAGCAAAAAUUGUCGCCUGUCAAAGAAAAAAGCAGCAAUGUUGCGGAUCACUAGCAAAAUCAGUCACCCGUUCGAGCAAAAAAUGUCACCGGUCGCAGCAAAAUUGUCUGUCACAACAAAAAGCACCACCGAUCGACCUGGCGGUGUUAACCAAGCACAUGUUUGAUCCCUUUAACAUAAGGGGUAAGAGUCCGACGGUGUGCCAAUCAUCACCAUUAGCCACCUGGAAUGCGAGGAGGUAAUUUGUUGCCCAAAAUCUCAGGGUCCGCUUCCGUUGUACUUGUCCAUCGUGUUUAUCUUAAAGCUGGAUGCGAACUUGUAGCAGACGAUCUCGUACAUCAAGAUCCCUUCUUAGUUUGGCAUGAUGAUGUGCUAUUCGUGUCACCGGUUGUCCUGAUGUGACUCUUACAUGGCCAUCCUGCUGGAUCAUCGCCGUCUUCAGAUAUUCCAUCCCUUCUUGCUUGAACCUCCGCUUGUCCGGAUGCCCUUUUUGGGAACUGUGUCAUGACCAGGGCUCCCGCCGCUACCUGUAUAUCCUUAGCUGGAGUGUGAUAGGACUCUGGGCCCUCCUGGAUCAAUGGCGUUCACGAGCGCCUCUUUCACUCGUCUACUUUCCAUGGCUAGGGAGGCCUUGUCCUCUGCCGGCAUGGUCUUUCCGAUGGGAUGGCAAAACCGGAACAGCUCCUCGCUGCGUCCAGGCCCGCCGCCCUCCUCUCCAAGCGUCUCUUCUCCUUGGAAACCUUGACGAGAGCCGACAAGGCUUUCAUCCGGACUUCGUCUUGCUCCUCAUCUUCUAGGAUCGCUCCAUCAAGUGCUUCAAUAUCCCUAUCGCUAAAUUCUGACACCUCGUCGCUUUCCUCCUGGCUUGGAUCUAGCGUGUCUACUACAUAGCAGGACUGGACCGAGGUCGCCUGCCACGUGCAAAGAGGCACCACGGCUCAUGGUGGGCUAACUCCUCAUUCCCCUCGAGGAUGUUGGUGAGAUCUUCAACGUUGGCGAUUAAGUGGGUUGUGAGCAGAUCAAUUUUUUGGCAUGCUGCUCUUGGGCCUGGAAUGACGUCAGACCUUGGAGAAGGAGCUCGCCGCGUGAAUCCGCGACGUACUCUAGAUUGCUUAAUUGAACAAUCCAGCCUAGGGUGCAGCUCUCAACUUGGCCCAAGCGACCGGUCGAGUCGGCGACAAAGGUCAUGGCGCCGAAAAAGAAGAUUUGACCUGACGUGUAGAUCGUGUCGUCGUCAACUAGCGAUCCCAUCUGAUCACUAAGUUCACAGAUCCCUCAAUAGGGUAUCCUAGUGAGGUGAGUAAAUCAGGGGGGAAACAUGAGACAGAUUUACCCAGGUUCAGGCCCUUCUUACAAGGUAAAACCCUAUUGUGUUACGGUGUAGAAAGUACAUGUAUUACUCAAGGGAUUGUAUGUUUUCUAUCGACUAGCUCGACCCCGGCUUAUAUGAGAUAUCGGGGCCCCUAGAGUUACAUGGACCUAGUCGACUAUGCUGGUGGAGGGGAGUCCUUCAUGUCUCUGGCUUCCUUAUCUUAUGGGCUAAGGGAGAAGGAGGUCAAGAUGCACUGAUCAUCAAGGAAAAUAGAGCUAUGAAAGAUGGUGCAGGGGUAACCCUCUUCCGCCAUGAACGUCGUGGGUCAAAUGUAGAUGCUCACAAUAUAGAAAAAGCUCUAGUCUUAUCACCAGGUAGGCAUGUCUAGUUGCUUGAGCCCCCGGGCUACGUAAACUCUAUGAUUGAUUAUUAAAGCUCGGGUUUGUUAUUCUUAAAAAAUGUUUUGGAGCAUUGUUUUUCCCCAGGUCUCCACGAAUGUCAUUCCAUCGCGAAAAUUUGCACGCAUGUGAAAUAUACAUCGAUGUUUGUUGCUAAAAAAAUUCAGAUUUUUUUUAUUUUUUACAAAUUUUUCUUACUGUUCCAAAUGGUAUAUGUGAGCUCGUGCUCACAAACUUCAUGUCCCAUUCUAACAAAUCAACUCUCAGGUUGCAAAAAAAACCCCAUUUACGUUGAUUUCUUCCUCUGUGAAUUGAGUGUUCCAAAUAAUAGACAACUCUACAUUUGGUCUUAUAGGAAUGAUAAUAGAUGGGAGUACAUCUCUUCAGAAUACUACUAGGAAAGGAGCACAUGUGUUGCAACGGGGUAAUUAAAUUAUGGUCUUCAAAUUGAGUGACCCAUAACAUAAUACCUAUAAUGAUUACAAAUAAUAUACAACUCACACUGUUAAUUCAAAUCAAUAACAAGGUAUGAGGUCAAUGAACCAAAAUGAAUCAAACAGAUUAAGUGGUCGAUAUGUAUAAGGUCAAUGAAACCAUCGAGAGUGACAACUACAAGCUCAACGCACCGUGAGGCUUGAGUUCUCUUAUUUAUUGCAGACAUGUGUAGCUACUAACAUAAUUAGGCCAUCGUUAUUAGGGGUAGUAGUGCAUAGUCUUCUUCAUAGAUUGUGAUUUUGUGAAAUACUCUCGCAGUACAUUGUCUUGUUACACCAUCCUGUGCCGUCGUCAAGUCCUAAUCGGAAGCAAUGUUCAGCUGAUAAGAGCUCUACGAGAAAGUAAUGACAAUCAAGCUGGCAUUGUAUUGGUGCUCAUAAAUCACACAUACAGUUGGCCUCUCCACACAAAUAUGCAGGACACAAAAAACAAGUGCUAUCAUUAAUUGACUACUGGAUACUAGUUUGUAUACAAUAAAUCAGUAUAAAAAAACACAGGCAAGUGGAGAAAAUAUGAAGCUAUGUUGUUGCUCCUCCUCACUAACAUUGGUGACUUGGCUGUCUUCAUUUAGAUUUCCCAAGAUAAUUUCUGAUGGCCCUUCUGAUGCACCAACUCAAAAUUACAAGAAAUACCACAUCCUUCUGCUUGUCGGUCUCGGAAUUGGUGCAACUCCUUUCGUCAGCAUACUGAAGGAUGUCCUUAACAACAUAAAGUCCAAUAAAGUAACAUAGUCACUGAAUGUUCUUCCUCAUACAUGAGUAGAGAUGCACAAUGGCUAAAAUGAAUUGGAUUCUACAAGAGCAGCAAAGCAUGCAUGACGUCGAGUUAGGCAGCACCUUCAACUUCAAGGGCAACGUGCCAAGCCGAGCAUACAUGUAUUGGGUUACCACUUACCAGAGACCAAGCGGCUCGUUUGAACGGUUCAGAGGUGUCAUAGGUGAAGUUGCUGAAAGUGAUAACGGUGUACUAGUCAGCCGUAACAGUUUCAGAUACACCAUGGUUGCCUGCAAAAAGUUUCAGAUACAUCAUGGUUAAUUGCUUGCUUCCUUUCCUAACUGCUACUUCAAGAUCUGCACACACUUUGCAAGGCCAAACUGAAGAAAGGUUAGUCACAUUUGAUUAUUACUACAGUAUUAUUUUUGGCUGCGCGCCUGAUUAAAAUCUAAGUGACGAAUCCCACUUUAUACAUUACAAAAAAAGACACUGUAUACUAAGAUGACGCCGCAUAAGUCUGCAGGUGUUUUCACCCUCUGCCUCCUCCUCUUACCGGCUCUCAUCAGCGGCAUGCAAAAGGGGAGAGGCGGCUGUAGCGACGUAUCCCGGCCGGACCCGUGCGUGUUGGAGGCCUGGAAGGUGAUCGGAUCGGAUCUAGAGUCCGUGGAGGAGACUUGCUCGGAUACACAAACUUUGCACAGAGUUCCAUUACGAUUAAUGGGUGGCCUUGCCGGACCCGGACACGGGCUCCCCAUGAACCGCCCUCCUUUUGCCACAUAAAUAGGCUUCGAGCCCUCUACGGAAGCAUCCAAUCUCCCGGUCCUUCAAUCUCGCCGCUCCACCACUCCGCCGGCCGCCCGUGCUCCAUACGCCGUCGUACAAUCUCGCCGUUCUACCAACAUCGCCGGACCGCCGUGCUCCACCUGAGGUACGCCCGAUCUCGUGCCAAGCUGAAUUCUGUCCUGUCGAUGCUGAGAAGUCAUGAUCUUUCAUGUGUGUCUGCGCUCUGCAACCAUAGCUGCCAUCGUCAUUACCUUGCACCUAUACGGACAGUCUGCACUCUUUAGGCCUCAUAGAUUAGCCACAAAGUAGGCUAUACACACACUGGAGAGUAGGAGUACUUCAUAGUGGCGCCUGGUAGUUCCAAUAUCUGGAGAAAAUACCUGUCCAAUCUUCUGCUUUGGACUCUGCUUGAGUUCACUUUUCCAAAGCUCGCUACGGUACUGGAUACUGGAAGGCCAAUUUGGCUAAAGGCAGAGAAUAGUUCAAAAGAGAGAAUAUAUGCCAUGCUCUCUAUUACCUGAUCAGGUUUCAUCUUAAAUUGUGGUGAUUCUGUUCUAUGCAAUAUUAUUUGCUAUGUUCUGGCAUUGAUUCUCUGUUAUGGCUGACGCGUGUGUCAAGGCUAAUAAGAACUAUUUUUACCCAAUGGUAAAUUUACUGAACAAGCUCCUGUCUUAUCCCCAUCGUCUGUCUUAAGGCUAAUCUAUUCAUGGUUAGUUUUCCUUGCUGUACAAAGGUCAUCGUUCAUUCGCUCUUUUGUACUAUGUUCUUCUUCUCUUUCCUUUACAGUAAAACAUAGACCAUGCUUCCAUUGUUGCAACUUGCAACUAGUUCCAGGUUUGCUCGUGGGUGUCAUUUGAGGUCAGAGUAAAUAUUUUGGUAGUGUGCCAACUAUAGGCACACUCGGUCGAAAUCCAAAAAAUCCAGUAGCUUAUGCAGCCUAUAAUUAGCUUUUACAUAUUAAUUAGUAGCUGAUUUCUGUCAAAAUGAAUAGAUGGACACCCUCUAUUUACAAUAUUAUUAUAAUUUUCUCCCUGUUUGAUUGAACUCCAUGCUGAUUACACCUUCACACAAUAUAAGAUAUUGUUUGAGCAAUCUGACUGUGGGAUGUUCAGGUUGUUAUUGCAGAAAAUGAAUGACAGCGCUGACUUGACCAUUGUUGUGGAUUUUGAUAACCGACCUUCAAAAAAAGCCAAUUUUUCUGAAUCGGAUCUUUUGGAGCCAUCACCUACGUCACCAACCAUCUGACAUCAUCUCUGGUUUUUGAAUGUUUUGAAUCGAUUGUUCUGGAAUCAGAUAGAUGUUGAUCCAUUGCCAUGACCACCGUCACCAACCAGCUCGACAUUACCUCCAGUUUCUGAAUGUAUGAAUGAAAGAAAAGUUUAAUCGAUGAUGAUAAGUAACCAGAUGAAUAUGAACAAAUAAAAGUUGAUGAAACAUACAACUAGCUCCCACUAGAUAAUUGUUUGAUUUAUGAUGUGUACUUUUGUAUCUAGCAUCCUCCUUUUUAUUAUUUAAUAUUAUUAUUUGUGUAUGUGCACGGUUAAUCCAUAUUUACACAUGGAUUUAUUCGAUAUUUUUUCAAAUUAUUUUACUUUUUGCAGAUUAUGCACUGACCAACAGUGAUGUAUGUGCUCAUAUAUCAAUAGAAACAUCUUUUGAAAAAACGAUUACAGGUGAAGAUAGAUGAAAUAUCUGUCAAACAACAUCAAUUGGUGUGCGUGUUAGAUAAAAAAGGGUGGCUAAACGAUGAUGUAAGUACCCUUUCUUACAAGAAUGUCCAAUUAUUGAUAUCCAUUAGUAAUGUCUUUUUCAAAAUCUUUUUAUGUAAUCAGUGCAUAUGUAUGUUGUAUAGAGGACCAAGUACAUGUUCAAAAUGAUAGUAAAGUAUAUUUUCAGAAUCCUUUUGUUACCGCAUCGUUAAUACGGUAUGUCAACCUUGGUAUAUAUAUGAAGAUGGUACCUUUAUGAAAAAGAUUGUAAAAAACUAUGUGAAGCAUGACAUUGUAACAUCCAUAUCCUUUAUUUUCCAUGUUCCGGGUUUAAUACAUAUUUAUUAGUAAUUUUACUAAUUAUUUUGAUUAUAGAAUGAACUUCCAAUAAAUAUGAACAACACACAUUGCUAUUUAACUGUUGGGGACGCAAAAAAUUGUGAGAUUACAGUACUUGACUCAUUGUGUUGGGAGUUUGACCGAGAUGAUCUCACUAUUACGGUUGGUUACUACAUCACUAUUACGGUUAGUUACUACAUAACUAACCGUAAUAGUGAGAUCAUCUCAGUCAAACUCGCAACACAAUGAGUCGAGUACUUGAAUCUCACACUUUUGCAUUCACAACAGCUAAAUACCAAUGUGUGUUGUUCAUAUUUAUUGGAAGUUCAAUCUAUAAAUCAAGAUCAUCAGUAAAAUUAUGAAUAAAAGUGUAUGAAACACAAAACAUGAAAAUUAUGUAUAUGGAUGUUACCAUGUCAUGCUUCACGUAGUUUUUGACAAUCUCACCAUGUUCAUUUAUUCCAAGGUUGCCAUCAUGCUUUAACGGUGCAGUAACAAAAUGAUUCUCAAAAUAUACUUUACUAUCAUUCUGGACAUGCACUUGGUCUUGUAUACAAAGUUUGACUAAAUUUAUAUUAAAAAAUAUCAACAUCGUCUACAAUACUAAAGUUAUAUAGACGAAAAUUAAUUUUCAUCUAAUGCGUUUCGUAUUGUAAAUGUUGAUGUCUUUUCAUAUAAAAUUGGUCAAAAUUUACUAAGUUUGACUUCAAACAAAUUUCAUAUGCAAACUAAAAAGAAACAGAAGGAGCACCGAUGAUGAGAAUAAAUGAUGAUUUUAAAAGAAAAGAAUAGAAUAGAACCUAGCAGAGAACCUGUCCGGCCCCAGAUCAUCCAGAGUGUCAUCUUCGUGAACGCCCACUGCUAGGUACUUCACAGAUCCGCACACACUUUGCAAGGCCAAACUGAAGAAAGGUUAGUCACAUUUGAUUAUUACUGUAUUAUUUUUGGCUGCGCACCUGAUCAAAAUCUAAGUGAUGAAUCCCACUUUAGAUUACAAAAAAGACACUGUGUAUACUAAGAUGGCGCUGCAUAAGUCUGCAGGUGUUCUCUACCGUGGAUCUACCACUCUUACAAAAAUGCUGACGGAUCUUGCAGUAGAAUUCAGCCACACGACAACAACACGGUUCAGCCACAGGCCCACAAGGAGAACUUCUGACUUCUAAGUUCAGGCCAACAAGCAGUUCUAGGAGCUCUGCAGGUGCCAUCAGGAGCAGGGGAGAGGCGGCUGUAGCGACGUAUCCCGGCCGGAUCCGUGCGUGCUGGAGGCCGGGAAGGUGAUCGGAUCUAGAGUCCAUGGAGGAGACUUGCUCGGAUACACGGCCUUGCCGGCCACGGACUCCACAUGAACCGCCCUCCUUUUACCACAUAUAAAUAGGCCUCGAGCCCUCUACCGAAGCAUCCAAUCUUGGGGUCGUACAAUCUCGCCGUUCUACAACUCCGCCGACCGAAGUGCUCCAUACGCCGUCGUACAAUCUCGCCGUUCCACUAACAUCGCCGGACCGCCAGUGCUCCACCUGAGGUACGCCUGGUCUGGCUAAAUUCGGUUCUGUUGUUUUGAAAAAGACAUGAUCUUUCCUGUGUGUAUGCACUCUGCAACCAUAUAUGUCAUCGUUACCGACUGGAGCUGCCGCAAGAUCUUCUGCUUUGUACUCUGAAAGUUUGCUUGAGUUCACUUUUCAAAGCUAGCUACGGUACUGGAUGCUGGAAGGCCAAUCUGGCAUAAAGAGAGUGAAUAAUAUAUGCCAUGUUCUCUAUUACCUGAUCAGGUUUCGGCUCAAAUUGUGGUGCUUUUAUUCUAUGCAAUUUUAUUUUCUUGAUGAUGCUAUGUUCUGGCAUUCGUUCUUAAGGCUAGUAAUAAACUCUUAAGGCUAGUAAUAACUAUUUUAACCAAUGGUAAAUCUACUGAACAAACUCCUGUCUUGUACCCUUCCUUCUAUCUUAAGGCUAAUCUAUUCAUGGUUAGUUUUCCUUCAUGUACGAAGGUCAUCUCUUUUUUGUAUAUUUUUUCUUCAGUUUUGCUAAAGCACAUCUAGAUGUGCCAUAAGUAUUGCACAUCUAAAUCCUAUGUCAUUGAUCUUAUGCGGAGAUUCGUGUGAAUUUUUUUUUGGAUUUUUUCUUUUUCUUUCCAUACUUGAUUGUGUCAUUUAGAUGUGCAAUAACUAUAGCACAUCUAGAUGUGCCCUAGACAAACCCUUUUUUCUUCUCUUUCCUUUACAGUAAAACAUAGACCAUGCUCGCAUUCUUGCAACUUGCAAGUAGUUCCAGAUUUGUUCGUGGGUAUCAUUCGAGGUCAGAGUAAAUAUUUUGGCAGUGUGCCAAUCGAAAUCCAAAAAUCCAGUAGCUUAUGCAGCCUAUAAUUAGCUUUUACAGAUUAGUAGCUGAUUUCUCACAAUGAAUAGAUGGACACCCACUAUUUACAAUAUUAUUACUAUUUCUCCCUGUUUGAUUGAACUCCAUGCUGAUUACACCUUUGCACAAUAUAAAAUAUUGUUUGAGCUUUGCAGAAAAUGAAUGACAGUGCUGACUUGACCAUUGUUGUGGAUUUUGACAAUCGACCUUCAAAAAAUGCCAAAUUUUUUUAAUCGAAUUUUUUGGAGCCAUCACUUGCGUUAUCUUUGGUUUCUGAAUGUUUUGAAUCGAUUGUUCUGAAAACAGAUUGAUGUUGAUCCAUUGACAUGACCUACGCCGCCAACCAACUCGACAUUAUAUACCUCUGGUUUCUGAAUGUAUGAAUGAAAGAAAAUUUUAUUCGAUGAUGAUAAGCAAUCAGGGGAAUAUGAACAAACAAAAGUUGAUGAAACAUACGACUACCUCCCACUAGGUAAUUGUUUGAUUUAUUACUUUUGUAUCUUGCAUCUUAAAUGCCUUUUUGUUAUUUAAUAUUAUUAUUUGUGUGUGUGCAUGGCUAAUCCAUAUUUACACAUGGAUUUAUUCAAUAUUUUUUCAAAUUAUUUUACUUUUUGCAGAUUAUGAAAAAACAAUUACUGGCGAAGAUAGAUGAAAUAUAUGUCAAACAACAUCAACUGGUGUGCCUGCUAGAUGAAAAGGGGCAGCUAAACGAGUACCCUUACUUACAAGGAAACGUUCAAUUAUUGAUAUCCAUUAGUAAUGUCAGCAUGACAUGGUAACAUCCAUAUCCAUAAUUUUCAUGUUCUGGGUCCAAUAUAUAUUUAUUAGUAAUUUUACUAAUUAUCUUGAUUAUAGAAUGACCUUCCAAUAAAUAUGAACAACACAUUGCUAUUUAACUGUUGUGAACACAAAAAAAAUGUGAGAUUACAAUACUUGACUUAUUGUGUUCGGAGUUUGACCGAGAUGAUCUCACUAUUACGGCUGGUUACUACAUCACUUCUGAUCCUCUAUAUGAAAUGUCAUAAACUGAUCCUUCGCUUAUGUGUAUUAUUUCCGAUGACAUAUUUCAGCUACAUGGACUACAAUAUCAAUUGGACAUUUUUAAAAGUCAUAACUUGAUAAGCCACAACCUGAAAGACUUCGACGUUACUAAAUGGAAGAUCACAAAACAAUUAUGAAAGUCAAUUCAAAAAGACAAGUAUAAAGCAUCACAUAUGUUCUAUACUAAUAUAAGUAAUAUUGUGAUAUAUCUAGGGUACUCAAUUUUGUUUUAAUUAUACAGUUCACCUUGUGCACUACUAAUUCAAAAUGAAUUGCUCUAAAAUAUCUGUAGAAUUGAUUGAUUUGAUGUAGCUGCAAAGUUCACCUACUAACUCAUCUAAGCUCAUGUUAGAAAGAACAUAUAUUAGUAAUUGGUAUUUAUUUUCGACAAAUAAUGUGUUUAUUGCUUUUGAUUUUUUGUAUCAUAUGUACUUUCCAACAUUUUAAUUAACAUCAUUAGGAUCUCCAUCAAUGUCAUCGUCAUUUUGUUCAAUCAUUGUAGUCGUGGCCGCGGUGUUUGUUUUCCAACAUAAUAGUAUGCUCACUAACUUUAUACCUAAAAAAGAAGUGAUAAUUUCCCGUGCAACACAAACAACUAUUAGUUUUUUUUUGACAACUCAAACAACUAUUAGUAUAUUAUUGAACAUACACGAUUAUUACACAUGAAUUAUUACUUAUAUUGGCAUAGAACAUAUGUGACACUUUACAACCUGUCUUCUUGAAUUGGCUUUUGUAAUUGUUCUGUAAUCUUCCAUUUAGUAACAUUGAAGUCUUUCCAAUUCUGGCUAAUCAAGUUUUGACUUUUAAGAAUGUCCAAAUGAUAUUUUAGUGCUCGUAGGUGAAAAAUAAUUAAUGAUCAGAAACAAUACACAUAAGCGAAAUUUCACAUAAUAAGGGGUAAUAAAUGAUGUAGUAACUAUGAGAUCAUCUCAGUCAAACUCGUAACACAAUGAGUCAAGUACUUGAAUCUCACUCUUUUGCAUUCACAAGAGCUAAAUACCAAUGUGUGUUGUUCAUAUUUAUUGGAAGUUCAAUUUAUAAUCAAUAUAAUCGGUUAAAUUAUGAAUAAAAAUGUAUGAAACGCAAAACAUGCAAAUUACGUGUAUGAAUGUUAGAGCUUGUUCGGCAACACUUCACUCCUCAAAUUUCUCAACUCCGGUCCUUACUUCUCAGCUUCCAACCCUACUUGCAUAUUUUAGAAGUUUGCAAAACGGCCCCCAACUCCAGCUCUUCUACGUGUGCGCAUGGAGAAAGGGAAUCGGGGCAAGUGGAGGCUAUGAGAGAUUCGUGGGAUUAUGUUUUCUUUUUUUUCUUCUCAAACCGAUAAGUGGCGGGUAAAAAUUGUACAAGACGGAGUGUGUGGAGCAGCACUUUUCCAACUCCAGCAGUUUGUACUACGGGCCGCUCCGCUCCGGAUUAUGAAAUCCACGGAGUUACGCGUUCGGUGCAGUUCCGCCGGUUCCGUGGCGGAGUUGAGGAGUGGAGGGCUCCCGGGCACUUAAUUAUGUCCGGUAACAAAAAUUCUCAAAAUAUACUUUACUACCAUUCUGGAUGAGAAGUCAGAGACCCUUCCGCACGGCCGGUAUGGACUAGAGGUCGUUGUACCUGGCUGCCACGCGGCCAGCGCCGACAAAGUCCUUCAUCGCGGCCGCCCUGGACGAGGGCACCAGGAGUUACGUAUCUGAUCUUUUUUUUUUCCUUUCUUUUCUUUAAAGCUGUUAUAUACAUCUGAUCCUGGAGGAAUGGAAACGUAAAGUGAAGGAGCGGGAUUGAGCAGCUGGGAUUGGAAACAGAGCGGCCGUGGGGUUGCGUGCUUUAAGAUUGGAGUUGGAAUGGACCCGGUCUCAGAAUUUAUUUUCCCAUCUUCUCCGCCUCCGCCUCCGCCUCCUCCUCUGCCUAGCUCCACCUCCGCCGAUGGCAGCCGCCACUCCAAGCAAAAGCAACAAGGACGCCAUGGCCUUCGACUAUGCCAAAAUGCUCAUACCGAUCUCGCCUUCUGCUAUCAGGGCCGUUAGAGUUAUAAUAUAAGUCAUGUACCCCUUUUGUAUUUAUCCCGUUGUAUAAGGGGUUUCCUACAUAUGUUCCACACUUGUACAUGCAUAUAUAUCGGCCUAUGGCCUCAUGAGAAUACAAGUUGCUUAUACCUAACAUGGUAUUAGAGCUAGGUCAAUUUUUUGCACGCUGCAACUCGUGCGAUUGAUCCAUCCCGAUCGAAGCAGUCCCGCUCGAUCUCCAACCGGCCUCGUGUGAUUGAUCUCCUGAUCGAAGUCUUCCUCGAUCUCCUUCUCCUCCCCGUUCCGCUGCAGAUAGAAGCGCUCACCACGACCUCCCGUGAUCAAUGUGCUCCAGGCCCCGCUCCAGAUCGAAAUCACCUCCAACCGCCGGGCCUCCAGUCGUCUCAGUCGCCGAUUCCCAUCGCCCAGCUGCAGCCAGCUUCAAGUGACGAGGCGCUCAUCUUCCUGCUCGCCUCUACUUCUUUCUAGAUCGGAUCCCACCGCCUAGCUGCUCGAUUCUGCCCUCCAGAUCGGAUCGGGCUUCCACGCAGUCGUUGACCAAAAAAAAGUCUGCUGCAUCGGGCUAUGUUGCUGUCCCUUGCUGUCCGGUGAUCUUCGAUGGUACUAACUACACUGAGUUCACUGGCUUCAUGCGCAUUCACAUGCGUGGCAUCCGUCUCUGGGGCGUUCUUUCUGGCGAGGUCUGCUGUCCGCCACGUCCGGUUCCUCCGGUGGCUCCUAUUCCGCCGACUCCACCGGUUCUUCCUCCGGAUGCUAAUCAGGCCGCCAAGGAUGCGGCUAAGCUUGCUGAUGAGGCUGCUGAUCGUGCUUAUGAUGAGAGGGUUUUGGCUUAUGAGGAGGCUCUUCAAACGUAUCAUGGUGCUCUGUCUGUUUACACCCAGUGGCUUGAUGAUGAUGCUCGUGCUGCAGUUGUUCUCACUGCUAGUGUUCUGCCUCAGUUUGCUUUUGAGUUUCUGGGUCUUCCUACUAUCUUUGAGAUGUGGACCCGUCUUCGUCAGCGCUAUCAGCCCUCUGGUGAUGCCUUAUACCUUUCUGUGGUCCGUCAGGAGCAUGCUCUUCAGCAGGAUGACUCUACUGUUGAUGACUUCUAUGCACAGAGUUCUGCUAUCUGGCGCCAGCUUGAUUCUCUCCGCAGUGCUAGUUGUCGUACCUGCCCCUGUUGCCAGGCUGUCCAGGCCAAUUUGGAGUUUCAUCGCGUCUAUGAGUUCCUGUCUCGGCUCCGUAAGGAGUUUGAGCCCCGGCGUGCUCAGUUGUUUGCUCGUGGCCGUAUUUCUCUCAUGGAGGCGCUUUCUGAGAUUCGUGCUGAGGAGACUCGCUUACGUGGUGCUGGUUUGCUGGAGGUUCCCUCUGUGCUCGCUACUCGUGCUCCUACGCCACCUGCUGCACCGAUCCCCUCUCGCUCGAGUGCUCCGCCGCUCUUGCCCACUCCUUCCGGAAGCUCAGGUCGCCCCCGUCCACAUUGCGACUAUUGCAACAAUGAUGGUCAUCUUGAGUCUCAGUGCUACACGAAGAAGAAACACCUGCGCAAGGCGCGAUCAUCAUCUUCAGGGACUUUGUCAUCUACCUCGACAGCUUCAGCCAUUGCUUUGACUGACCAGGAUAUUCUGAGACUUAAGCGUCUGCUCGCAGCUUCAGGUUCUUCCUCGACGGGUACUGCUGGUUCUAUGACUGAUGCUUCCCGCACUGAGCAAUCACCCUCUACACAGUCAGGUACAUCCCCAUGGGUUCUGGACUCUUGAGCUUCUUUUCAUAUGUCUUCUCAUUCUUCCACUUUGUCCUCUCUUCGAUCACUGGAUUCUCCUGUUCAUGUCCUCACUGCUGAUGGUACUCCACUUUCUGUUGCUAGUAGAGGCAAUCUUACCACUCCUUCUUAUUCUGUUCCUGAUGUUGCUCAUGUUCCUCGACUUACCAUGAAUCUGUUUUCUGCUGGUCAACUUACUGAUUCUGGUUGUCGCGUCAUCCUUGACGUUGUCUCUUGUUCUGUCCAGGACCGUCGCACGCACACUCUGGUUGGGGCUGGCCCUCGCCGCCGUGAUUCUCAGGGUCUUUGGGAGUUGGACUGGCUUCAUGUUCCUUCCGCUGCCACCAUCGCCAGUUCUUCCGCUUCUGUCUCCUCCGUUACUGGUUCCUUCCAGCAGUGGCAUCAUCGACUUGGUCAUCUGUGUGGUUCUCGGUUGUCUUCUUUAGUUCGUCGAGGUCUUCUGGGGUCUGUCUCAGGAGAUGUCUCUUUAGAGUGUCAGGGUUGUCGUCUUGGCAAGCAGAUUCAGUUACCAUAUUCACAUAGUGAGUCAGUGUCCAAGCGUCCUUUCGAUUUAGUCCAUUCUGAUGUAUGGGGUCCGGCCCCUUUCGCUUCGAAAGGUGGUCAUAAAUACUAUAUUAUUUUCAUAGAUGAUUUCUCUCGUUACACAUGGCUUUAUUUCAUGACUUCUCGUUCUGAGGUGUUGUCUAUUUAUAAGCAUUUUGCUGCCAUGGUUCAUACUGUUGGGGAACGUUGCAGAAAACAAAAAAUUUCCUACGGUUUCACCAAGAUCCAUCUAUGAGUUCAUCUAGCAACGAGUGAUCAGAUUGCAUCUACAUACCUUUGUAGAUCACGCGCGGAAGCGUUCAAAGAACGGGGAUGAGGAAGUCGUACUCGACGUGAUCCAAAUCACCGGAGAUCCUAGCGCUGAACGGACGGCACCUCCGCGUUCAACACACGUACGGUCAACGUGACGUCUCCUCCUUCUUGAUCCAGCAAGGGGGAAGGAGAGGUUGAGGAAGAUGGCUCCAGCAGCAGCACGACGGCGUGGUGGUGGUGGAGCAGCAGUACUCCGGCAGGGCUUCGCCAAGCUCGUGACGGAGGAGGAGAUGUGUUGGGGAGGGGAGGGGCUGCGCCUUGGAUGUUCUUUGCAGCCCUUCCCUCACCCCUCUAUUUAUAGGGGAAGGGGGAAGGGGGCCGGCCCCCUCUAGAUGAGAUCUAGAGGGGGGGGGGGGCGGCCAAGGGGAGGGGGGCUUGCCCCCCAAGCAAGGGGGCGCCCCCCUUUAGGGUUUCCCCCAACCCUAGGCGCAUGGGCCCUAGGGGGAGUGGCGCCCCAGCCCACUUUGGGCUGGAUCCCUUCCUCAUACAGCCCAUAAGGCCCUCCGGGAGAGGUGGCCCCUCCCGGUGGACCCCCGGAACCCCUCCGGUGGCCCCGGUACAAUACCGAUAUGCCCCCGAACCUUUCCGGUGACCGUAUGACAACUUCCCAUAUAUAAUUCUUUACCUCCAGACCAUUCCGGAACUCCUCGUGACGUCCGAGAUCUCACCCGGGACUCCGAACAACUUUCGGGUUACUGCAUAUACAUAUCUCUACAACCCUAGCGUCACCGAACCUUAAGUGUGUAGACCCUACGGGUUCGGGAGACAUGCAUACAUGACCGAGAUGACUCUCCGGUCAAUAACCAACAGCGGGAUCUGGAUACCCAUGUUGGCUCCCACAUGCUCCUCGAUGAUCUCAUCGGAUGAACCACGAUGUCGAGGACCUAAUCAAUCCCGUACUCAAUUCCUUUGUCAAUUGGUACGUUACUUGCCCGAGACUCGAUCGUCGGUAUCCCAAUACCUUGUUCAGUCUCGUUACCGGCAAGUCACUUUACUCGUACCGUAAUGCAUGAUCCCGUGAUCAACCACUUGAUCACAUUGAGCUCAUUAUGAUGAUGCAUUACCGGGUGGGCCCAGAGAUACCUCUCCGUCAUACGGAGUGACAAAUCCCAGUCUCGAUUCGUGCCAACCCAACAGACACUUUCGGAGAUACCUGUAAUGUACCUUUAUAGUCACCCAGUUAUGUUGUGACGUUUGGCACACCCAAGGCACUCCUACGGUAUCCGGGAGUUGCACAAUCUCAUGGUCUAAGGAAAUGAUACUUGACAUCCAGAAAAGCUACAGCAAAGGAACUACACGAUCUUUGUGCUAUGCUUAGGUUUGGGUCUUGUCCAUCACAUCAUUCUCCUAAUGAUGUGAUCCCGUUAUCAAUGACAUCCCCAUGUCCAUAGCCAGGAAACCAUGACUAUCUGUUGAUCAACGAGCUAGUCAACUAGAGGCUCACUAGGGACACAUUAUGGUCUAUGUAUUCACACAUGUAUUACGAUUUCCAGACAAUACAAUUAUAGCAUGAAUAAUAGACAAUUAUCAUGAACAAGGAAAUAUAGUAAUCAUUUUAUUAUUGCCUCUAGGGCAUAUUUCCAACAGUCUCCCACUUGCACUAGAGUCAAUCAUCUAGUUACAUUGUGAUGAAUCGAACACCCAUGGAAUUCUGGUGUUGAUCAUGUUUUGCUCUAGGGAGAGGUUUAGUCAACGGAUCUGCUACAUUCAGGUCCGUAUGUACUUUACAAAUCUCUAUGUCCCCAUUUUGAACACUUUCACGAAUGGAGUUGAAGCGACGCUUGAUAUGCCUGGUCUUCCUGUGAAACCUGGGCUCCUUGGCAAGGGCAAUAGCUCCAGUGUUAUCACAGAAGAGAGUCAUCGGGACCGACGCAUUGGGUAUGACUCCUAGGUCGGUAAUGAACUCCUUCACCCAGACUGCUUCGUGUGCUGCCUCCGAGGCUGCCAUGUACUCCGCUUCACAUGUAGAUCCCGCCACAACGCUUUGCUUGCAACUGCACCAGCUUACUGCCCCACCAUUCAAAAUAUACACGUAUCUGGUUUGUGAUUUAGAGUCAUCCAGAUCUGUGUCGAAGCUAGCAUCGACGUAACCCUUUACGACAAGCUCUUCGUCACCUCCAUAAAUGAGAAACAUUUCCUUAGUCCUUUUCAGGUACUUCAGGAUAUUUUUGACCGCUGUCCAGUGUUCCAUGCCGGGAUUACUUUGGUACCUUCCUACCAAACUCACGGCAAGGUUUACAUCAGGUCUGGUACACAGCAUAGCAUACAUGAUAGACCCUAUGGCCGAGGCAUAGGGGACGACACUCAUCUUUUCUCUAUCUUCUGCCGUGGUCGGGCAUUGAGCCAAGCUCAAUCUCGUACCUUGCAAUACAGGCAAGAACCCCUUCUUUGACUGGUCCAUUUUGAACUUCUUCAAUAUCUUGUCAAGGUACGUACUCUGUGAAAGACCAAUGAGGCGUCUCGAUCUAUCUCUAUAGAUCUUGAUGCCUAAUAUAUAAGCAGCUUCUCCAAGGUCCUUCAUUGAAAAACACUUGUUCAAAUAGGCCUUUAUGCUUUCCAAGAAUUCUAUAUCAUUUCCCAUCAACAGUAUGUCAUCCACAUACAAUAUGAGAAAUGCUACAGAGCUCCAACUCACUUUCUUGUAAAUGCAGGCUUCUCCAUAAGUCUGCAUAAACCCAAAUGCUUUGAUCAUCUCAUCAAAGCGAAUGUUCCAACUCCGAGAUGCUUGCACCAGCCCAUAAAUCGAGCGUUGGAGCUUGCACACCUUGUCAGCAUUCUUAGGAUCGACAAAACCUUCCGGCUGCAUCAUAUACAGUUCUUCCUUAAGAUAACCGUUAAGGAAUGCCGUUUUGACGUCCAUUUGCCAUAUCUCAUAAUCAUAGUAUGCGGCAAUUGCUAACAUGAUUCGGACGGACUUCAGCUUUGCUACGGAAAAGAAUGUCUCAUCGUAGUCAACCCCUUGAACUUGUCGAUAACCCUUAGCGACAAGCCUAGCUUUAUAGAUGGUCACAUUACCAUUUGCGUCUGUCUUCUUCUUAAAGAUCCAUUUAUUUUCUAUGGCUCGCCGAUCAUCGGGCAAGUCAGUCAAAGUCCAUACUUCGUUUUCAUACAUGGAUCGUAUCUCGGAUUUCAUGGCUUCCAGCCAUUUGUCGGAAUCCGGGCCCGCCAUCGCUUCUUCAUAGUUCGAAGGUUCACCGUUGUCUAACAACAUGAUUUCCAAGACAGGGUUGCCGUACCACUCUGGUGCGGAACGUGUCCUUGUGGACCUUCGAAGUUCAGUAGGAGCUUGAUCAGAAGUAUCUUGAUCAUCAUCAUUAACUUCCUCUCUAAUUGGUGCAGGCACCACAGGAACAUUUUCCUGAGUUACGCCACUUUCCGGUUCAAGAGGCAAUACUUCAUCAAGUUCUACUUUCCUCCCACUUACUUCUUUCAAGAGAAACUCUUUCUCUAGAAAGGAUCCAUUCUUGGCAACAAAGAUCUUGCCUUCGGAUCUGAGGUAGAAGGUAUACCCAAUAGUUUCUUUAGGGUACCCUAUGAAGACGCAUUUUUCCGACUUGGGUUCGAGCUUUUCAGGUUGAAGUUUCUUGACAUAAGCAUCGCAUCCCCAAACUUUUAGAAAUGACAGCUUAGGCUUCUUCCCAAACCAUAAUUCAUACGGUGUCGUCUCAACGGAUUUCGACGGAGCCCUAUUUAAAGUGAAUGCGCCAGUCUCUAAAGCAUAGCCCCAAAAUGACAGCGGUAAAUCGGUAAGAGACAUCAUAGAUCGCACCAUAUCUAAUAGAGUGCGAUUACGACGUUCGGACACACCAUUACGCUGAGGUGUUCCAGGCGGCGUGAGUUGUGGAACUAUUCCACAUUUUCUUAAGUGUGUACCAAAUUCGUGACUCAAGUAUUCUCCUCCACGAUCUGAUCGCAAAAACUUGAUUUUUCUGCCACGUUGAUUCUCAACCUCACUCUGAAAUUCCUUGAACUUUUCAAAGGUUUCAGACUUGUGUUUCAUUAAGUAGAUAUACCCAUAUCUACUCAAGUCAUCAGUGAGGGUGAGAACAUAACGAUAGCCACCACGAGCCUCAACACUCAUUGGACCGCACACAUCAGUAUGUAUGAUUUCCAAUAGGUUGGUUGCUCGCUCCAUUGUUCCUGAGAACGGAGUCUUGGUCAUCUUACCCAUGAGGCAUGGUUCGCACGUGUCAAAUGAUUCGUAAUCAAGAGACUCUAAAAGUCCAUCUGUAUGGAGCUUCUUCAUGCGUUUGACACCUAUGUGACCAAGGCGGCAGUGCCACAAGUAUGUGGGACUAUCAUUAUCAACCUUACAUCUUUUGGCAUUCACACUAUGAAUAUGUGUAGCAUUACGCUCAAGAUUCAUUAAGAAUAAACCAUUCACCAUAGGAGCAUGACCAUAAAACAUAUCUCUCAUAUAAAUAGAACAACCAUUAUUCUUGGAUUUAAAUGAGCAGCCAUCUCGUAUUAAACGAGAUCCUGAUACAAUGUUCAUGCUCAAACUUGGCACUAAAUAACAAUUAUUGAGGUUCAAAACUAAUCCCGUAGGUAAAUGUAGAGGUAGCGUGCCGACGGCGAUCACAUCGACCUUGGAACCAUUCCCGAUGCGCAUCGUCACCUCGUCCUUCGCCAAUCUCCGCUUAUUCCGCAGCUCCUGCUUUGAGUUACAAAUGUGAGCAACUGCACCAGUAUCAAAUACCCAGGAGCUACUACGAGUAUUGGUAAGGUACACAUCAAUUACAUGUAUAUCACAUAUACCUUUCGUUUUGCCGGCCUUCUUGUCCGCUAAGUAUUUGGGGCAGUUCCGCUUUCAGUGACCACUUCCCUUGCAAUAAAAACACUCAGUCUCGGGCUUGGGUCCAUUCUUUGGCUUCUUCCCGGUAGCUUGCUUACCGGGCGCGUCAACUCCUUUGCCGUCCUUCUUGAAGUUCUUCUUACCCUUGCCUUUCUUGAACUUAGUGGUUUUAUUCACCAUCAACACUUGAUGGUCCUUUUUGACUUCUACCUCUGCUGAUUUCAGCAUUGCAAAUACUUCAGGAAUGGUCUUUUCCAUCCCCUGCAUAUUGAAGUUCAUCACAAAGCUCUUGUAGCUUGGUGGAAGCGACUGGAGGAUUCUGUCAAUGACCGCGUCAUCCGGGAGAUUAACUCCCAGCUGAGUCAAGCGGUUAUGUAACCCAGACAUAGUGAGUAUGUGCUCACUGACAGAACUAUUUUCCUCCAUCUUACAGCUGAAGAACUUGUCGGAGACUUCAUAUCUCUCGACCCGGGCAUGAGCUUGGAAAACCAUUUUCAGCUCUUCGAACAUCUCAUAUGCUCCGUGUCGCUCAAAACGCUUUUGGAGCCCCGGUUCUAAGCUGUAAAGCAUGCCGCACUGAACGAGGGAGUAAUCAUCAACACGUGUCUGCCAAGCGUUCAUAACAUCUUGGUUCUGUGGGAUGGGUGCGUCACCUAGCGGUGCUUCUAGGACAUAAUCUUUCUUGGCAGCUAUGAGGAUGAUCCUCAGGUUCCGGACCCAGUCCGUAUAGUUGCUGCCAUCGUCUUUCAGCUUGGUUUUCUCUAGGAACGCGUUGAAGUUGAGGACAACGUUGGCCAUUUGAUCUACAAGACAUAUUGUAAAGAUUUUAGACUAAGUUCAUGAUAAUUAAGUUCAUCUAAUCAAAUUAUUCAAUGAACUCCCACUUAGAUAGACAUCCCUCCAGUCAUCUAAGUAUAACAUGAUCCGAGUUGACUAGGCCGUGUCCGAUCAUCACGUGAGACGGACUAGUCAACAUCGGUGAACAUCUUCAUGUUGAUCGUAUCUUCUAUACGACUCAUGCUCGACCUUUCGGUCUUCUGUGUUCCGAGGCCAUGUCUGUACAUGCUAGGCUCGUCAAGUCAACCUAAGUGUAUUGCGUGUGUAAAUCUGUCUUACACCCGUUGUAUGUGAACGUUGGAAUCUAUCACACCCGAUCAUCACGUGGUGCUUCGAAACAACGAACUGUCGCAACGGUGCGCAGUUAGGGGGAACACUUUCUUGAAAUUAUUAUGAGGGAUCAUCUUAUUUACUACCACCGUUCUAAGUAAAUAAGAUGCAAAAACAUGAUAAACAUCACAUGCAAUCAAAUAAUAAUAGUGACAUGAUAUGGCCAAUAUCACAUAGCUCAUUUGAUCUCCAUCUUGGGGUCCAUGAUCAUCUUGUCACCGGCAUGACACCAUGAUCUCCAUCAUCAUGAUCUCCAUCAUCGUGUCUCCAUGAAGUUGCUCGCCAACUAUUACUUCUACUACUAUGGCUAACGCGUUUAGCAAUAAAGUAAAGUAAUUUACAUGGCGUUUCUCAAUGACACGCAGGUCAUACAAAAAAUAAAGACAACUCCUAUGGCUCCUGCCGGUUGUCAUACUCAUCGACAUGCAAGUCGUGAUUCCUAUUACAAGAACAUGAUCUCAUACAUUACAUAUAUAUCAUUCAUCAUUCAUCACAACUUUGGCCAUAUCACAUCACAAAUCACUUGCUGCAAAAACAAGUUAGACGUCCUCUAAUUGUUGUUGCAAGUUUUACGUGGCUGCAAAAGGGUUCUAGCAAGAAUGUUUUCUUACCUACGUAAUAGCCACAACGUGAUUUGUCAACUUCUAUUUACCCUUCAUAAGGACCCUUUUCAUUGAAUCCGCUCCAACUAAAGUGGGAGAGACAGACACCCGCUAGCCACCUUAUGCAACUAGUGCAUGUCAAUCGGUGGAACCAGUCUCACGUAAGCGUACGUGUAAGGUCGGUCCAGGCCGCUUCAUCCCACAAUACCGUUGAAGCAAGAUAAGACUAGUAGCGGCAAGAAAGUUGACAACAUCUACGCCCACAACAAAUUGUGUUCUACUCGUGCAAGGAGAACUACGCAUAGACCUAGCUCAUGAUGCCACUGUUGGGGAACGUUGCAAAACAAAAAUUUUCCUACGGUUUCACCAAGAUCCAUCUAUGAGUUCAUCUAGCAACGAGUGAUCGGAUUGCAUCUACAUACCUUUGUAGAUCACGCGCGGAAGCGUUCAAAGAACGGGGAUGAGGAAGUCGUACUCGACGUGAUCCAAAUCACCGGAGAUCCUAGCGCCGAACGGACGGCACCUCCGCGUUCAACACACGUACGGUCAGCGUGACGUCUCCUCCUUCUUGAUCUAGCAAGGGGGAAGGAGAGGUUGAGGAAGAUGGCUCCAGUAGCAGCAUGACAGUGUGGUGGUGGUGGAGCAGCAGUACUCCGGCAGGGCUUCGCCAAGCUCGUGACGGAGGAGGAGAUGUGUUGGGGAGGGGAGGGGCUGCGCCUUGGAUGUUCUUUGCAGCCCUCCCCUCACCCCUCUCUUUAUAGGGGAAGGGGGAAGGGGGCCGGCCCCCUCUAGAUGAGAUCUAGAGGGGGGGCGACGGCCAAGGGGAGGGGGGGCUUGCCCCCCAAGCAAGGGGGCGCCCCCCUUUAGGGUUUCCCCCAACCCUAGGCGCAUGGGCCCUAGGGGGAGUGGCACCCCAGCCCACUUUGGGCUGGAUCCCUUCCUCAUACAGCCCAUAAGGCCCUCCGGGAGAGGUGGCCCCUCCCGGUGGACCCCCGGAACCCCUCCGGUGGCCCCGAUACAAUACCGAUAUGCCCCCGAACCUUUCCGGUGACCGUAUGACAACUUCCCAUAUAUAAUUAUUUACCUCCGGACUAUUCCGGAACUCCUCGUGACGUCCGGGAUCUCAUCCGGGACUCCGAACAACUUUCGGGUUACUACAUAUACAUAUCUCUACAACCCUAGCGUCACCGAACCUUAAGUGUGUAGACCCUACGGGUUCGGGAGACAUGCAUACAUGACCGAGACGACUCUCCGAUCAAUAACCAACAGCGGGAUCUGGAUACCCAUGUUGGCUCCCACAUGCUCCUCGAUGAUCUCAUCGGAUGAACCACGAUGUCGAGGACCUAAUCAAUCCCGUACUCAAUUCCCUUUGUCAAUCGGUACGUUACUUGCCCGAGACUCGAUCGUCGGUAUCCCAAUACCUUGUUCAGUCUCGUUACCGGCAAGUCACUUUACUCGUACCGUAAUGCAUGAUCCCGUGAUCAACCACUUGAUCACAUUGAGCUCAUUAUGAUGAUGCAUUACCGAGUGGACCCAGAGAUACCUCUCUGUCAUACGGAGUGACAAAUCCCAGUCUCGAUUCGUGCCAACCCAACAGACACUUUCAGAGAUACCUGUAAUGUACCUUUAUAGUCACCCAGUUACGUUGUGACGUUUGGCACACCCAAGGCACUCCUACGGUAUCCGGGAGUUGCACAAUCUCAUGGUCUAAGGAAAUGAUACUUGACAUCCAGAAAAGCUACAGCAAACGAACUACACGAUCUUUGUGCUAUGCUUAGGUUUGGGUCUUGUCCAUCACAUCAUUCUCCUAAUGAUGUGAUCCCGUUAUCAAUGACAUCCCCAUGGCCAUAGCCAGGAAACCAUGACUAUCUGUUGAUCAACGAGCUAGUCAACUAGAGGCUCACUAGGGACACAUUAUGGUCUAUGUAUUCACACAUGUAUUACGAUUUUUGGACAAUACAAUUAUAGCAUGAAUAAUAGACAAUUAUCAUGAACAAGGAAAUAUAAUAAUCAUUUUAUUAUUGCCUCUGGGGCAUAUUUCCAACACAUACUCAAUUCUCUUCACCCAUUCGUGUUUUUCGUGCUGACUCCGCUGGCGAGUAUAUCUCUAAGAUGUUGCGUGGUGUUCAUGCUCAGAAUGGUGUGGCUGAGCGAAAGCAUCGACAUCUUCUUGAGAUGGCUCGUGCAUUGAUGAUUGCUGCCUCUCUCCCGCCUCAUUUUUGGGCUGAGGCCGUCUCCACAUCCACCUAUCUUAUCAAUAUACAGCCUUCCGCUGCUCUACAGGGUGGUGUUCCUUUCGAGCGACUUUUUGAUCGUUCUCCCGAUUAUUCGAUGCUUCGCUCGUUUGGUUGUGUUUGCUAUGUUCUUCUUUCCCCUCGCGAACGCACCAAACUGACCGCUCAGUCUGUGGAGUGUGCCUUCUUAGGCUACAGUGAUGAGCAUAAGGGCUAUCGUUGUUGGGAUCCUAUCGGCCGUCGGAUGCGUAUCUCUCGAGACGUGACUUUUGAUGAGUCUCGUCCCUUCUACCCACGUCCAUCUUCCUCGACUUUUUCAGUGCAUGAUAUCUCUUUCCUCACUUUUCCUGACUCACCUAUCACCCCCGUCGAGCCUGUACCUCUCCGUUCCACUUCCUCUCCUUCUCCACCUCUAGUUGAUUUGCAGCCACCAUCCUCCCCGGUCUCCUCGCCUAGCAUGUCACCGGGUUCUCCACCUUCAUCUCUGGUGACUUCCUCCCCGGUCUCCUCUCCCAGCAUGUCACCGAAUUUUACACCUUCAUCUCCGGUGACUUCUUCAUCGCCACCCCCCGAUUCUACCUUGACGAUUCCUCCUUCUAUUAUUCCAUCUUUUCCUCAGCAUUACACUCAUCGUCCACGACCAGUCGAUGCCUCUGUGGAUGAGUCGUCAUCUUCCUCUCAGCCUACUUAUGGCUUGCGUUCUCGUCCUCGUCCGCCUGUUGAUCGCUUUGGAUUUCCCACCACUGGUGCUGCUGUUCUUGAGCCGACUUCUUAUCGUCAGGCUGUUGUUCAUCCUGAAUGGCAGUUUGCGAUGGCAGAGGAGAUUGCUGCUCUUGAACGCACCGGUACCUGGGAUCUUGUUUCUCUUCCUCCCGGAGUCCGUCCGAUCACUUGUAAGUGGGUCUACAAGGUUAAGACUCGCUCCGAUGGUUCUCUUGAGCAUCACAAAGCUCGUCUUGUGGCUCGUGGUUUUUAGCAGGAGCACGGUCGUGAUUAUGACGAGACUUUUGCUCCUGUGGCCCAUAUGACCACUGUUCGUACACUUCUUGUCGUUGCCUCUGCACGCCACUGGUCUAUAUCUCAGCUUGAUGUUAAGAAUGCCUUUCUUAAUGGUGAGCUGCGUGAGGAGGUGUACAUGCAGCCACCACCUGGGUAUUCUGUUCCUGAUGGCAUGGUAUGUCGUCUUCGUCGCUCUCUCUAUGGCCUUAAGCAAGCCCCCCGCGCCUGGUUUGAGCGCUUUGCCUCUGUGAUCACUGCUGCUGGUUUUUCAGCAAGUGCUCAUGAUCUAGCAUUGUUUAUUCACCUUUCUCCUCGUGGUCGGACUCUUCUUCUUCUCUAUGUUGAUGACAUGAUCAUCACGGGGGAUGACCCUGAGUAUAUUGCCUUUGUAAAGGCCCGUCUUAGUGAGCAGUUUCUUAUGUCUGAUCUUGGACCUCUUCGCUACUUUUUUGGGAUUGAAGUCUCUUCUACCUCUGAUGGCUUUUUUAUAUCCUAGGAAAAGUAUAUCCAGGAUCUUCUUGCUCGUGCUGCUCUUAUUGACGAGCGCGUUGUUGAGACUCCUAUGGAGCUCAAUGUUCACCUCCAUGCUACUGAUGGUGAUCCUCUCCCUGACCCGACGCGUUAUCGUCAUCUUGUUGGCAGUCUUGUCUAUCUAGCUGUCACUCGUCCGGACAUCUCUUAUCCGGUUCAUAUUCUGAGUCAGUUUGUCUCUACUCCCACCUCGGUUCACUAUAGUCAUCUCCUUCAUGUUCUCCGAUAUCUUCGAGGCACGAUCUCUCACCGUCUAUUCUUUCCUCGCUCCAGUUCUUUACAGCUUCAGGCCUAUUCGGAUGCUACAUGGGCUAGUGAUCCUUCAGAUCGCCGUUCACUUUCUGCUUACUGUGUUUUUAUUGGUGGUUCUCUCAUUGCCUGGAAGACGAAGAAACAUCUUGCAGUUUCCCGUUCGAGUGCCGAGGCUGAGUUGCGAGCAAUGGCUCUUUUGACGGCAGAGGUGACUUGGUUACGGUGGUUACUUCAGGAUUUUGGUGUUUCUGUCACUACACCGACUCUGCUCUUAUCCGACAGUACAGGUGCUAUCAGCAUUGCGCGCGAUCCUGUGAAGCAUGAGCUCACCAAGCAUAUUGGUGUUGAUGCUUUCUAUGUGCGCGCUGGUGUGCAGGAUCAGGUUAUUGCUCUUCAGUAUGUGCCUUCCGAAUUACAGUUGGCGGAUUUCCUGACGAAGGCCCAGACUAGAGCACAACAUGGCUUUUAUCUCUCCAAACUCAGUGUUGUUCAUCCACCAUGAGUUUGAGGGGGGGUGUUAGAGUUAUAAUAUAAGUCAUGUACCCCUUUGUAUUUAUCCCGUUGUAUAAAGGGUUUCCUGCAUAUGUUCCAUACCUGUACAUGUAUAUAUAUUGGCCUAUGACCUCAUGGGAAUACAAGUUGCUUAUUCCUAACAAGGGCUACGUUGGGCUAUGACAUCAGUGCCAUCGGCAAGAUUUUGAUGGCUGAUGAUGGUCGUUCGGUCGCGGAACGAAUGGACUACUUAUCGAAGGUGAGCUCGAUUUCUUCUCUUGCCUCUUUAGUUUCUUUUUCCGUUCGGAUUUCGAGCUAUCUAUCUAGAUAAAUCUAAAACAAGUAAUUUGGGAUGGGGGUAAUAUGUGCUUAUUUUGGAUCGGCUGAAAACAAUCCAUAGAUCCCACAAUCGGAAAUAUCUAUCGUUAUUAUUUUUCAAUCCUGGUUCUCGCAAUCGAGAAGAUGGGGAAUAGAUAUUAUGAUGACUGAAACAUUUAUUGUUGUUUUCCGUCAUUUGAACUGCACUAGGAUCCUGGUUCGAUUCUUGUUUUUCCUUUUCAGUUUGUGCUCUUACUUUCCCCGAACAAUAUGCAACCAUCAAUGUUUUGAGAUGCCACCCUUUUUCUGUCGAGAAUUUUGCUUCAUUCAAGAAGCCUGAAGCUCUGGUACAUGUGGACGACCUAGAGGAUGAGGACGAUGAGGAGGUAAGAGAUUUUAGUCCAAUCUAAUGCUACUGUAUGUUUUUUUCCUGGCCGAAGUAAUUAGAUUGAUUUUAUUACUUUUGUCUGUGCUUUAGUCACUUCUACUGCUCCUUCCGUCCUAAAAUGUAAGAUGUUUUUUGACACUAUCAUAGUGUGUAAAAAAAUGUCUUACAGUUUGGAACGGAGGGGGUACUAAUUUGUAAACCACUAACCUGUGGCUGAGUGAUGAAAAGAAACCUUGUAGUGGUGUGGAACUGCAAGCCCAGGACAAGGAGGACGGGCUUGAGAUGAUAACACUCUUUAUUUCAAUGUAGAUGCUAUGAUACCAGAUUUUUUUUUGCCAUCUGAAUUCACUAGAUAAAUUUUAUUUCUGUCUGCCUUUAAUCAUUUUUCCUACUAAUUUGCGUACCUCUAAUCAGUUGAUGGACGAUGAAAAGAGAUCUGCUAGUUAUGCUGAACGCAAGUCCCUAGUGAAGGUGAACAAGAAUGCAAGAAAGCCAAGAUUAUCAGCAAGCUCUGAGUGCCAGGGAGAAGAAACUGAGGCCGGACAAAGGAACUCCCUUUAGUCAGUAAUGAUUUUUGUAUAAACACAUGCAUGCUCGUUAUUGCGAAGAGAUUAACUCUUGGAUCUGAUUUUGUAGUUCAAAAUCUGUUUUGCACUUGGAUUCAAGUAGUGAAAAAUUAAUAAAUUUGCCGCCUAAUUCAUUAGCUCGUUCAGUGAGACAAAUUAUAGUAUCAAUGCAUAUUUUUUAUUUGAUCUCAGCAACAUGGCAUGAAUCCAUGGUCAUGAUUAUGUAGCUAUAAACAUUAUGGGCAAAAUGAGUUUCAGUCGAUAAAAUUGGAGUCGUGUUCCAAACAAUUGAAACACUGGCAAUCAGAUUAUUACCAUACUGGAUACAGAUUAUUACCUGCUUCUUGUUUCUUCUAAUUACUAACAAAACAGGUACUGCCUAUGUAUGAAGUAGGAUUGUAUAAGCAUUGGGAAGAAAUCCUGUAACUCUGUUACAUUUAACACGAUGAAACAUGUAGAUGAUAUUCUGCUUUAUUUUCUCAGGUCCUGAUUACAUAACUUGAGCUUGAACACUUGGGAGUUACUCCCUCCGUCCCCAUAAUAUAAAAGCGUUUUUGAUAUUUACAGAGUGUGAUGCAGUUGUAGGGAAACAUAGAAUAACUAAUAACAUAUCUUUGCUGCUUAGGCCAUUUAAGUUGAAUGGAUUUAUUUGAACUUUCAUUUAUCAAAUUUCUCAAUGCUGCAAACCAUCUCCCAGCUAGGACGUGACAGAAUGGAUGGUUUUGUACAUUGAACAUGCCGACUGUAAACUUGGUGUGAGUUCAACAAAGGAAUGAUUAGGUUCCGAAUUAUAUAAUUUCGAAUAUAUGCUUAAAUGAGUCCUUUUCUUUUAAAUAUGGAUAAAAUACACAUUAUCAUUAAAAGUCUAUGCACAACUCAUUACCCUUACCGUAUGAUCUGUGCACACUGUUUUGUAUUAUUCUGUUUCGACAAUUUUACUUAAGUGUCCAUGCUUUUGUGUCUUCCCUGUUGUUGUCCAGGGCCACUCUGUUUUCACAUGUCUUCUUUUCAACUAACUUGGUUGAACCGAGUCAUCAAACUGAUUCUUGUGGAGUUAUUUGGUGUUUUGACAGGAGAGGCCACAAGAGGGGGGCAACAAAACUGUUGGUUGUGAUCAUGGCUUCAAUAUCGGGUCUUAUGAUAUUCAACAUGAGCUAUCGUAGGCCUUGUGUUAUGUGCAAUUUUUAUGAUUGUGUCCUAAAAACACAUCUCUGUUUCUCAUUUAAGUCAACGCGGAUAAAACAAGUUUCAUGCAUUUCAUGUCUACAACUUCGAUAUUUUUUUUAGGUACCUAGCUAAAAGAAAUUAUGAGUCGGUGUGCCAAAUUAGAGGAUGAAGCCGGAUGUUAUCUAAAAACUGCUGGCUAGGUAAGUUAUUAGUGUGUUGUGGUCAUGUUAUACACAAAUUCAACGAAUGGAGAUAUUGACGGUAGCUAUGCUGCAGCUCCCAAAUGUUGGCAAGCUUGAAAUUGUUGCUUGCUUUGUUUGAAAAAGAAAAAGAGAUUGGUGACAGGCAGCAACUUGAUCCGAAUGGCCUCUGCAUGAUUACCACAUAUAUAGCUGUUGCCUGAUGCCCGUGCAAGAUCAAACUCAUGCUUGCACCAUUACUGUUUUUUUAGACAAACAGGAAAGCUCCCCGGCUCCAUUCAUUGGAUUGCACCAUUACUGCCUCCUUGGCUGGGCGACACUACACCAUGUUCUACAGCAGCACCCCACUGGGAUAAUGUAUGUUUUUUUUUCAUGCAAGGACACUGAAGCUGGUACAAGGUCCUUAACAGUUGGUAGAAAUUGUAAGAUCACCGCGGAGAUGAUGCAAGAGAAGGAUUAGAAUGCCGACCGUACAUGGGGACGAAUACGAUUGAAGAAGACAUCACUAUAUCUGAUGCUGGUAAUUACAUUGCUGAUGAUGCUUCACAUACCUGGAAGGACAUUUCCAGUAAAUAUCUUGUUCAACAAAAUGCCAUGUGACGACUAUGUGGAACCGAUUAAAAAGAGCCCCGUCCCCAUGUCGCCAUAGCGAGCCGCCACAACCCUUCCUCCUUCCCUUCUCGCCAUUGCCGGUGCGCACCGCCGGACGAAGGUCGUGGCAUCGGCGGUGGUGGGGUGGCUCGUUCCUUUAGAAGUAAUUUUUUACUUCUGAUGCUCUUUGUACUACCUUGAUUGUUGAUGGAUAAAUUGGAAGUUUUCUCGCAAAAAAAGAGGUAUUCCAGUGGCAUGGCCUAGACCUGCGAGGGCGUCGGUUUUGGCAUGGUUUGCGGUGGCAUGGUCACGACCUUCCGUGGCGAACCUGCGCAUGUGAGGUGGCGGCGAGGCGGACUUAGGCCAAUUCCAACGCAUGACCGCAAAUGAAACAUUCGUUUCGUCCAAAUUCUGUCCAUUUGCGUCGGCAAAAGAGACAUGAGUGUCCGGAUGCGGCCGACCAGCCAUCAGUGCGCCCAAUUAGCUGCCGCAUCUCAAAAUUUUGUCCAGACUUCAAAUCUAAACCAAAAAUACAUUGCAAAAUAAUUUAAAAUAAUAUAUAUUUACACAAUAACUUAAAUGUCCACAAAGUCUCACGGCUGAACAUUGAAAAUAAACAUCAAAUUAAAAAAAACAUAAAACUAAGGAAACCCUAGAUCGGGUCAUCCGUCGCCGAUGUGCUGGCUGUCUUCAGUGGCCGCCAUCCUCCUCCUCGUCGCCCCCGGUGAAGUCGAUGUAGGGGGUGGCUGCCAUUGCAGAGCAGCCAUGGUGGUGACCAUGCCAUGGCAAUAUUACCCACGUAUCAUGCAGGUAAAAACCCUAUUAGGGUAUAUAGGACAAAAGGUUACCCAUGGAAUAUAAAUAGGAAAAUAUGAAACCCAUCGGAUAGGCAGGUACGAGUAUGGGAUCGUAUAACCCAUACCCACAUACACAUGUACUAAUAUAUAAUCUAUGUGAACUCAAAAUUAUCUCUAUAUAGUAUACACUUUGUCAUGAAUUUGUGAGCUCAAAAUGUAUGACUAUGUGUUAUUUUAAUGACUAUGUGAUGUUGUUUUGAUGUGUUGUUGUUUAUGAGAAAGUGAUGUUGUUUAUUGAAUGUGUUAUUGUUUGUAAGUAUGUGUUGUGGUUAUAAUCUUUUUUUUAGCAAAAACAGUAGGGCAAAAUCCCUACUGUAACUCUAUUUUUCAAUAUGUAUGUGUUGUUGUUAUAAGUAUGUGUUUACUACAUAAAGGAUAAUAAAUGAUGUAGUAACUAACCAUAAUAAUGAGAUCAUCUCAGUCAAACUCGCAACACCAUGAGUGGAGUACUUGAAUCUCACACUUUUGCAUUCACAACAACUAAAUACCAAUGUGUGUUGUUCAUAUUUAUUGGAAGUUCAAUCUAUAAUCAAGAUAAUCAGUAAAAUUAUGAAUAAAAAUGUAUGAAACACAAAACAUGAAAAUUACGUUUAUGGAUGUUUACAUGUCAUGCUUCACAUAGUUUUUGACAAUCUCUGUCAUAAAGGUACCAUGUUCAUGUAUUCCAAGGUUGCCAUCCUGUUUUGAUGGUCCGGUAACAAAAUCAUUCUCAAAAUAUAUUUUACUAUCAUUCUGGACAUGUACUUGGUCUUAUAUUACAAAGUUUGACCAAAGGUACCAUGUUCAUGUAUUCCAAGGUUGCUUGCUUUCCUGACUGCUACUUCACAUAUCCGCACACACUUGGCAAGGCCAAACUGGAGAAAGGUACGCUCUGAUGCAGCCAAUACCUACGAGAACGCUCGUUUAGGUCAGUCACAUUUGAUUAAACUAGCAAACAUGUCCAUGCAUUACUACGGAAGACCAAAAAAUUACACGCUAGCCAAACAAGUAUGACUCAAUACCCUGACAUAUGAGUGUCCUCUAUUUUAACACGAUGGCUACCAUGUUGCCACUUAUCUUUCUUCUCACCCUUGUGGAUGAUGGAUGUGGUGUCCACAUGAUCGCAAUGCAUUCGACGUGGUAAAUCCCAAGGCAAUGAGCUUGCCACUGCACGACACACUUGUCAUUAUCUCACGCAAAGGAAUGUAUAAAACUUUAUUAAAACAAAUCUCAUCGACCACAAACUAUUCCCAAUGCCUAGACAUAUAAAGACUUUAUAAAAACUAAUCAAAUCCUAGGCAUAAAAAACUCUUCAUAAAAACUAAUCAAAUCCUAGACAUAAAAUACUUCUGUAUCGGCGAACCGUUUUCGAACAGACAAACAUUUUUUUAAAAUUUGGGCAGUUUUUUAAAUUCAGGAAUCUUUGUUUUUUUAGACGAACAUUUAUUGAAAUGCAUGAAUAUUUUUCAAAUUCAUGAUUUUUUUUGACUCAGCAAACAUUUAUUGAAUCGAUGAACUUUACUAAUUUUGCUUUUCACAAAUGAAAUUGAUUUUUCUGAAUAUUUUCUAAAAUUUCAUGGACAUUUUUUUCAGAUUCACUAAUAUGUUUUGAAUACACAAUCAUUUUUUCAAAAUCAUGAACUUGAUUUUAUUUCCUGACAAAGUUUUUCCAAAUUGUGAUUUUUGAUAAUUUGCAAACAAUUUUUUAAAAUCACCAACAUUUGUUGGAACUGUGAAAAUUUUAUGAUUUCCCGGACAUUUUUUGAAUUCACAUACAUUUUGUAAUUUCUCGAACAUUGUUUUAGAAACUCGCAACAUUUUGAAAUUUGAUAAUCUUGAAUUAAUUUAAUGAAUGAAAAAGUAAAAACAGAAAUAGAAAAGAAAAGACAAAAAGUGAAAUGGGAAAAAAUAGGGGCAUCACGCCCCGGGGGCGGGGUGUAGGUGCGUGAGGAAAAAGAGGGGGAAAAUCGAUAGAAGCUGGGGAUCAAACCAUGGCCUCUGGGGUGGAAGAGAUAGGCUCAAGCCACCACGCUGCUACUAUCUCUAUUACUAUAUUUAUCGGGUAUAAUACCUAUAACAAUACUAAGGCCUCAUUCGGUUUGAAGGAUUUUUAUAGAAAAAAUAUGGGAACAAGGAUUCCAGAGGAAAAUUUCCUAUAUAUGCAUUCAGUUUGUAGGAAAUGCGUAAAGGAAUUUCGUAGAAAUACUAUUUAUUUCCUAUGUUUUUGGAGGAAACUACACAUCCACUCAAAACUCAUUUUGCGCAUAGGAACGAGGCAAGUCAAUUUCUUAGGGUGGCAAGUGCCAUCCUAUCAAAUUCCUAUACUACUCCAAAUUCCUAUGUUUAUAUUUCCUCCAAACCGAAUGAGCCCUAAGCACACCGGCGACUUUGGAAAAAAAAACCAAACCGUUUUUUCUUCACUUACGGGUGGCAUGGCGGGUAAUUUAUAGCAACUUUGCGGGCAAUUUCGGUGAAGGACAGGCAGAAGCAAUAGCCCCUUUACUAUUAGGAUUAGGAAAAGAUUUUGUUUGCCUGUGCAUGAACCUAUGAAUAGUUUCAAACCCAGAUUGAAUCCAGCCCAAACCAAACAACUCUAGGUCUGUGGUGCAAUCCAAUCCAAUCCAAAACUUUACAACUAUAAUCCAGACCGAACCAAAUUAUAAUGAUUUUUCACCCAAACCCAUCAAACUAUUUCUUAUUUUUGGAUUUAACCCGCAGUUUCAAACAGUGGACACAAGAAGCUGACGUGCCGACGUCGGUGUGCGACUCCACGCCCACUGCCUGCCACGUGCAUGAUGCCCCAGUCGGCGAUGGCAACUUGAGAGUUGAGACUUGGAGCAGCAGCUACCAGACCAUCGAAUCAUCGGGUAUAUAAUCAGAUGUGAUGAGAUACGUGUGUACGGGUAUGGGAAGGACACAGAAUACAUGGUUGUUUGUGAUUUUUUUUCUUCGAAGGAAAGGGCCACAGAGAGGAAAAACUGGAACCGUUCGAUGGGGAAGGACGUGCGCGGAGCACGGAUGGGAGUACGAGGGUGGAGCAGGCAAGCCGCGCUAACAAUGUUAUUCAUAGGAAUAUGACAAUGUUCCAUUGCUGGUGCAAAUUCGGGCAAUUACCCUCUAACAUCAUAUGCUACAUCUCACGCUACUGAUUUUGUGGUACCAUAUGCAACUCUAGGUAUUUCAUAAUUUGGCUUGCCACCUUCAUGCUAAUAGCCGAAUAAGUGAACACUAUAUUUAUGGUCUACAUUGUUAGGGAUCAUGUCGUCGUUAGUCGCUGCGGCUCCAGCGCCGACGGACAAGCAGACGCGCGUACUCGAGCAAGCUGUGCAUGGAUGGGAUGUUCUCCUUGACCUUGUCCACCAGCUGCACGCCUGUGAUCUCCUCAAAGACGGCUAGCCGGCGGCGGCAGCACGACAAGCUCGUCGCGUUGGACGGAAGAGGCAGUUCUCGUGGCCUUGGGCUUUACACCGACAUUAAGAGUUGUCCUCUUGGCACUAGGCCGGGAGUAUCGCCGACGUCGACGAGGUCGACAUGGACGUACCAGUGUGAUCAUGCUUCAGUUUUAACGACGUGCGAGUAUUAUGGAGGAAAAUUAUACAUAGUUGUUUGUGAUUUAUUUCUUCUAUAAGGAAAGGGCCACGAAGAGAAAAAACUGGAACCGUUCGAUGGGGAAGGACGUGAGCAGAGCACGGAUGGGAGUAGGAAGGCGGAGCAGGCAAGCCGCGUCCUCUGGCGCACGGCGGCUGCGCACGCGGAGCUGGCAGGGGUCCCGGUCCGUCCACGUCGACGACGGGAAACUACAGAGAGCCGGGUGGUCAGCUUGACGUCGUGCGCGCCCAGGCCCCAGGCGCUAGAGCUCCUUCACCGGCUGCACGUACUAUGCCAGGAUCGCGGACAGGCCGCUCAUGCUCAGCGGCUUGAUGGAUGGAAUGGAUUGAGCUACGUACGUGUAUAUGGUAGCUGGUCUUCCCGUACGGUUUGGUCCAGGGACUGGAUUCUGUCCAUGGAUUGAGAUCAUUUGAGACUGCCGUGUAUAAAAAGAGGGGUACACGUUUUGUACCCCUAUAACUAUGCACGGGCAGUCUGAGCCACGGGCAUCACCACACUGAGUAAGGCAAGGGAGGUGAGCCAAGGUAAGGCCGAAGCUCAGGAGAAGCAGAAUGAUGUCAAGACCAAGACCACAAAGAGCAAAGGGGACGAAAUGGACCCCCCCUCCCCCGGCAAGAUUCUUACCGGGAGGCGGUUUUACCAAACUCGGCAAGACCCUUGCCGUGGCAGCUCGCCCACACCUACGGAGUAAGUCAUCCUUGAGUCCACUGCCCCCAUGGGACAAGGAUUCGGGAGACAUCCCCGUGGUGGCAUGCAGAUCUUUAUGGAGACAUUCAAGAUCAGAUACACCCUUUAGAAAAUGAUGAUCCUUGACGGGAUCUCAGCCAAGGAGGACCACAAGGCCCCCGGCAAGGCCCUUGCCAAGAACACCCGUAGGACCACCAUCAGGCCCACGCCAGUCAAACCUCCACCGCCGUUCGCAUGCAGCUGCCGACCCAACCAGCUGGGCAGGCACCUGCGUGGGGGCAUGCGGGUCUUCGUGGAAACCCACCACUGCGCCACCUCAGCUGCCUGCCUGCCUACAUGGCACCGCGGGCGCCGCUGGCCAGGGCGCGUGUCGACACGAGAGGGAGCGACGACGGACGAAACAGGGCUCUCCCCCGUCCCCGAUAAAGCAGGGACACCUGGGCAAGACGCAUUAAAUGCGCCUUGUCAUGUAAUGCAAGGGAUAACCUCACAUCACUGUACCCUUUCCACCUCCUGUGUGCCACUGUGGCAACCCCUUUCCUAUAAAAGGAGGCCUGAGGCGACCAGGAGGAGGAUUCGGCUUUUUGGAGCUCCUCACACCCCAUAGCUAGCUCAAGGACACAGAUAUACAAUCCACCAAAGCAAGAGUAGAGUUUUACACAUCCUCGCGGCCCGAACCUGGAUAAACAAACCGUGUGCUAUCUGUUUGAUCCGCUCUUCUCACGACCACGCGCCCGCAACCGUAGUAGGGAUUCUUGUGAUCCCAUAGGUGUCGUUCCCACCGACAUCUUUGGCACGCCAGGUAGGGGGGCAGUUGUGAGAAUCGGCUUUAGCAGUUAGUUCGAUGCUUCUUCAUCGUCAUGGCGCCCAAGAAGAAGACGACGGUGGCGGUUGGCCCGUCGGAAGCCGGACAUCCCGUCCCGACGCGGGCGAACAUCGGACCGGUCACAGAAAGGACCCGGGGCGCCGUUCGCGAACACCAACACCGUCCCAGCAGCCGGAGUUUGGGAGGCGGCGAUGUUCGUGCGCCUGGUAACGGGCCGCACGCUGCCAAAUCCAAAGACGAAGCCAGGCCCUCCGCAGGUGGCGCGGGGCCUUCCAAGAUCGCUGCCACCCCGCCCGAAGGCGAUGCGAGGGCCUCCAAGACUCCCACGCCGGCGCCGACGGCGCGCUCCUCUCAAGCGGCGCGCGACGAACGGCAUAAUCACGCCGAAGACCCCGGGCGUCGCCACGGGAAGAGCCCCGAGCGCCACUCCUGGGAGGUAGAAGACCUGCCCGCUCGCCGAGGCACUGGUGAAGAUGGCAUGCGACCGCGGGGUCGUGAUAGAGCUCCUUCUGACAUGGUCAGAAGUCGAAGCGCGUCACGAUUCAUGCAGGUUUCGCUGCCACCAACGCCAGCAGAAGCCCUGGCGCGCGCGCAGUUGCUCCUCGAUUUUCCUCCCACUACGGGGAAACUCGACGAAUGGAGAGCCACUAUCCGAAGCCUUGUUGCGGUGGCCAACAAAGACGAACCGUGUCCGGUGGAGCCCCCGGGUCGACGCCCCAACGGAGUCCCACGCACUAGUGGCAGGAAAGCCGGCGGCGCCGCGACCAUGGUGCACUCGCCUCCUCCUCGCCCGGUACCGCGGACGUCGGCCCGUCGCGACGCUGCGGGCGACGAAAUCUCCAUAGCGUGUCCGACCCGCGGACCCAUUGUGACCAGCGCCAAGUCCUUCGGGAACGAGAACAUGAAGACGCUCGAACCACUAUCGAGCGCUGGCGCGGAGCGCGCCACCAGUCAGACAGGCGAGCAGGGCCUGCUGUGAACCACCCGGCACCGGAGAGCCCUGGAGGCCCACCUUACGAGGUAGGCUGUCCGGCUUUUACCCGUGAUCUGCGGCAGUUCCAGUGGCCCACUCACUGCACCUUCAAACCUGACGUGGGCGAAAAGUACAGCGGCAAGACCCACCCGUCCGAGUUCCUCAGCAUCUACACCAUUGCGAUGCAAGCUGCCGGAGCCCGCGACGAUAAGGUGCUUGCGAAUUACUUUCCAUUGGCUCUUAAACCCAACGCCAUGUCAUGGUUGAUGCACUUGCCGGUAGACUCCAUUUUCUCGUGGUCGGAUUUGUGCCAUGAGUUUGUGGGUGCCUUUACUAGAGGCCACCAAGCCCAUGGCCAAGCGAGCGGCCUGCACGUCAUUCCCCAGAAGGGAGGCGAGAGUCUCCGCAAGUAUAUAUAGAGGUUCAGCCGAAUACAAUACAAUAUCCCUGAUGUUCACCCUGCCGCCAUCAUCAGCGUGUUCCAUCAGGACGUGUGUAACCACAAGAUGCGCGAAGAGCUAGCAAUGAACAAGGUGAAAGAUGUAGCAGAACUCUAUGUUCUUGCUGACAGAUGUGCCCGAGCUGAAGAGGGAAGGAAGUACCCCGGCGAAGACGCCGGCGUGGAAACCGACUCCUCAGAUGAAGAUACUGCCGCCCCGGCGAAGAAGGGCCGGCGCCGCAACAGGAAGCGCAAAGGUAAAGCCGUGCUUGCCGUCGAGGGAUCUGAUGACACCGGCUCCACCAAGAAAACCAAGGCAGAUGACCCCGGCAAGGAAAUUGCCGGAUGUGUCGCCUGCCGGGCCUUGGCGGUUGCCGAGAAGCCAGGAAACUCCGACAAGCGAUACUGCAAGAUCCAUCGCACCAAAGGUCAUGCUCUCCAAGACUGCCGAUAGGUUGAGCUCCUCGCUGAGAAGCAGAGGGCUGAAUAUGAGAGGCGGGACAAGGAGAAGGGCCAAGACGGUGCUGAGGGGUCCGGCAAGAAGCAUGACGGCCAGGCGGGCCGUCGCGGCAAGGAUAAACAACAGGAGAGGCCCGCCCGGGGCCGUGACAAAAAGCCAGAAGACGACGAUCACGAAGAGGACGACGAAUCCGGCGACCAAGAGUUUCAGAAAGUUACAGAGGCCAUGGGCAUCGACGGCGGCGCCUCGCUGCAUACUUCUCACCGCCAGCUUAAACAGUGGGCGCGAGAGAUUACAGCGGCAGAGCCGUCGUUUAAUGCCCAAAGGCCGCUGAAGUGGUCCAGCACACCUAUCAUUUUUGACACUGAGGAUCACCCUGAUCGCACUACUGCGGUCGGGUGCUUGCCAUUGUUGGUUUCACCAACAAUACGCAACCUCAAGGUGACAAAGAUGCUAGUCGAUGGAGGGGCCGGUCUGAACUUGAUCUCGCCUGCCGUGAUCGAGAAACUGCAGAUUCCUGAUGGAGACCUCGAAGAGAUGGGCAUGUUUCAGAGGGUCAACCCGGGAAGAAGCCAACCUAAGGGAAAGUUCAUGCCGCCCGUGACUUUUGGAAGAAAUCUGAACUACAGGAUGGAGAGGAUCGUGUUUGAUGUUGCCAAGAUCCCCUUGCCUUACAACGGGAUCCUUGGUCGCCCAGCGCUGGCCAAGUUCAUGGCGGCGUCACACUACGCCUACAACACCCUGAAGAUGCCAGGACCUGUGAUGAUCAUCAUCAUCCCCUCCGAUAAGAAAGAUGCGCUGAUUUGUGCUGACAAACUAUACCAGCAAGCAGUUGCAGCAGCUGCCACCACUAGGGCACUUGCUCCUGCCGCUGGGACCCCGGGAAGGAAGAAGAAGAAGACCGGUGAGACCUCGGACACCCACUCCGGCAAGCGCACCUCUUUGGAGUGUAGCGCUCCCAUCGAGGACGUGCCAGAGAGCUCCACCAGCGGAAACAAGAAGCCCAGGGCCAUACCACCGGGAACCAAGAAGGUUUCUAUCAAUGAGGACGGCACGGGAGGGGCUUUCACCAUAAGCUCCACCCUUGACGACAAAUAGGAAGACGCGCUCGUCACCUUCCUGCGGGCGAAUGUCGAUGUGUUUGCAUGGCAAGCUUCUGACAUCCCCGGCGUUCCCAGGGAGGUGAUUGAGCACCACCUUGCUGUCUGUCCUCAUGCGCGGCCCGUCAAGCAGAAUGUCAGAAAGCAAGCUUUGGAACGACAAGAGUUCAUCACAGAGGAGAUCCGAAAACUGGAAGCAGUGGGUUUGGUAAGAGGAGUGCUCCAUCCAACGUGGUUGGCCAAUCCGGUCGUAGUGCACAAGGCUAAUGGGAAGUGGAGGCUGUGUAUUGAUUACACAGAUAUCAAUAAGGCUUGUCCUAAGGACCCCUUCCUGUUGCCGCGCAUCAACCAGAUUGUUGACUCCACAGCUGGGUGUGAUCUGUUGUCAUUCCUCGAUGCCUACUCCGGCUACCACCAGAUCUUCAUGACAAGAGAAGACGAAGAGAAAACAGCAUUUAUCACCCCAUGUGGUACGUAUUGUUUCAUGCGGAUGCCUUUCGGGCUGAAGAGUGCUAGUUUGACGUUUGCAAGGGCGGUCCAGAUUGGUUUUGAACCACAGCCCCAUAGAAAUAUGGAAGCUUAUAUCGAUGACAUAGUGGUCAAAACCAAGGACAGGGCAACCCUCAUAUCGGAUUUGCAAGAAACAUUUGCAAACCUGCGCAAGAUCAAUCUCAAGCUGAACCCUGAGAAGUGCGUCUUUGGCGUCCCGUCCGGCAAGCUUCUCGGGUUCUUUGUAUCACAGCGUGGGAUAUAGGCCAAUCCGGACAAGAUCAAAGCUAUAGACCAGAUUGAAGCACCCAAGCAAAUCAAGGAUGUGCGUUGGCUUGCUGGUUGCAUUGCCGCCAUGGGAAGAUUCAUUUCCAAGUCUGCCGAGCGCGCCCUUCCCUUUUUCAAGAUCUUGAAAAAGGCGGGCCCGAUGGAGUGGACGCCAGAAGCCGAAUCAGCAUUGCAAGAUUUGAAAAAGUACCUCUCCUCCGCGCCAAUACUAGUUGCGCCUAGGCCACAGGAGCCGUUGCUGCUAUACCUGGCGGCAACGAACCAGGUGGUCAGCGCCGCACUAGUGGCGCAGAGAGAGGUUGACGACGAGGUAAUGGCAGUGACAGAGCCCGACACCACCAAUGCAGAGACGACACAGCCAGUUGAAGUGCCGCCGAAGAAGAAAAUGAUGCAACACCCGGUCUACUUUGUUAGUUCCCUCCUGCAGGGAGCUAGAUCAAGGUACUCUGGCGUGCAGAAACUGCUCUUCGGCCUUCUUAUGGCCUCGAGAAAGCUGCAUCACUACUUCUAGGCACACGAGAUCACUGUCGUCACUCGCCUUCCUCUACAACGGAUAUUGCACAAUCCAGAUGCAACAAGAAGAAUUGUGGAAUGGGCACUGGAGCUGUCCAGCUUUGGCCUCAAGUUUGAAAGUACUUCGACGAUUCAGAGCCGAGUCCUGGCGGAGUUCAUUGCAGAGUGGACCACAACGCCUGACGAAGAAGCCCAAGAGACUGCUCUCCCCGGCAAGGAGGCAAGUUGCAGUUGGAUCAUGUACUUUGAUGGAGCUUUCUCCUUACACGGCGCCGGGGCUGGCGUACUGCUUGUCGCGCCCACCGGAGAGCACCUCAAGUACGUGAUCCAGAUGCACUUCCCCAGGGAGGUGUCAACAAACAAUACGGCAGAGUACGAAGGGCUGCUUGCCGGUCUUAGGAUCGCGGCGGACCUCAGAAUCAAGAAGCUCAUCGUCAGGGGCGACACGCAGCUCGUCGUCAAGCAAGUCAACAAGGACUACCAGAGCCCAUUGAUGAAGGCCUACGUCGAUGAAGUGAGAAAGCUGGAAGAGCGUUUCGACGGUAUACAGGCUGAAUACGUUCCCCGAGCGGAGAACGAUAUCUUCGAUUACCUGUAAAAACGCGCUGCCCUCAAGCUACCUGUGGAACUAGGUACCUUUGUGCUCCAGCUAACUCAGCCAUCCGUUGAUCCAUCAACAGAGCAGGACAAGAGGAGGAAAUCAGGACCCAGCAAGUACUUUCCCGCCGAGCUCCCCGGAGCCGCCAGCAAGGAUGUUACCGGGGACACUGAACCCGCCAUGGGACGGCUAGCUCCGGCGGAGCGUCAAGCUCUUGCCGUCGAGACAGCCACUCCUAUAGCAGAGGAAAUGCCUUUAGUCCUCGCUGUCGAGCCCCAGGCUCCAGCGUGGGCACAGGAUACCGUCCGAUUCCUUCAAACAGGGGAGCUUCCUGAAGAGCAGGAAGAAGCGGAAAAAGUAGCAUGUCGCUCUACCAUGUACCAGUUCGUCGAUGACGUCCUGUACAGAAAGAGGCCGAACGGUGUGAAAUUGAAGUGUAUCCCUCGGGAGGAAGGACUGGAGCUGUUGGCGGAGAUAACCGGAGGCAUAUGUGGAUCCCACAUCGGGUCAAGGGCCCUUGCCGGCAAGGCAUUUCGACAAGGCUUCUUCUGGCUCACCGCCCUCCAGGAUGCGACGACACUAGUCACCAGGUGUGAAGCGUGUCAGUUCCAUUCAAAGAAGCUUCAUCAGCCAGCUCAAGCCCUUCAAACCAUUCCUCUCUCCUGGCCCUUCUCGGUCUGGGGGCUCGACAUACUGGGCCCUUUCCCCCGCGCUGUCGGGGGCUUUGAGUACUUGUACGUUGCAAUCGACAAGUUCAUAAAGUGGCCGGAGGUGGAGGCAGUGAGGAAGGUCACAGCUCAGUCAGCCGUCAAGUUCUUCAAGGGACUAGUGUGCCGUUUUGGUGUACCCAACAGGGUCAUCACCGACAACGGCACACAGUUCACAAGCCGCACCUUCAUGCAAUAUAUCCAAGACCUCGGCAGCAAAGUCUGUUUCACUUCCGUUGCUCACCCACGAAGCAACGGUCAAGCUAAGUGGGCAAACGCUGAAGUACUGUGAGGCUUAAGGACCAAGACCUUUGACAGGCUUCACAAGAGUGGAAGGCGCUGGAUUGAUGAGUUGCGAUGGUUCUUUGGUCGAUCAGGACGACACCAAAUCGAGCCACCGGCCAGACACCCUUUGCCCUAGUAUACGGGGCGGAAGCAGUUCUCCCCACUGAACUCAUAUACGGGUCACCUCGAGUGCUCGCUUAUGAUGAUCUUGAGCAAGAACGACUGCGGCAAGAUGACGCAAUGCUCCUUGAGGAAGAUCGUCUUCGGGCGGCUGUGAGAGCAACACGCUACCAUCAAGCCUUGCGCCGCUACCAUAGCCGCAAGGUUCAUGCCCGAAGCCUUGAGGAAGGCGACCUUGUCCUUCGGCGCGUUCAAUCGGCCAAGAAUUCCAACAAGUUGACGCCAAAGUGGGAAGGCCCUUAUCGGGUAAUACGAGUCACCAAGCCCGGCGCAGUCCGCCUGGAGACCGAAGAUGCCGUUCCGGUGAGUAACUCCUGGAACAUUGAGCAUCUUCGCAAGUUUUACCCGUGAGGCGCGGCUUGCCGGGCCCCCCGGCAAGCCACCUUUUGUACAAGCAUUGCCGAUGAUGCAUGUAACCCUCUGUACAAAGCCAGGCGCAGACUCUGAGCAUAAAUAAAUGAAGCGCUGGCGCCCUAAGUUAUAGCAUGCAUGCUAGGUCGAGUCUCGUCCUUGGUUAGGGUUGAUAGUGCUUAGCGGCGACUAACCCCUAGCUUAGAGGUCGAGUGUGCGUCUCUUUGUCUUUCUUUUGUCUUCUUUGGUUCGCAUGACACACGGAUAUCCGUGCCGAACCACUUGGGGAGGAAAAGAAGAUGAACAGACCAGCAUCUAGCCCCCGGCAAGCCAGCAUUGCCGGGGGCUGCAAGAGCAAAGAUUCACCCACGGCAAACCAGGGUUGCCGGGGGCUGCAUCUUCAGAUAAGUUCUUCAUCCCUUAUCAUGCAUUCCAUUAUGGACUGAGGUAUGUGAAACCUUGUUUUCCCCUAAGCUACCGUGCUCCCAUAACUCUAGGCCCUAGGGCUCGUUCCUGGGGCCAAGUUUGGUCGUAGUCGCGGCAGCGAAAGGAUGAAACAAGGAGCCAGAACCCACCUCAUCCCUGCCUUCGCCAAAGGCGUGAGGAAGGUCGAGCGAAGUGGGGAGACGGCAAGGCCUGUUGCCAGGCAAGGAAAUGUUUAUCUUGAAGAUAUCAAGGAUUUACUCCUUGUCGUGGGUUCCACCAGCAAACAAAUGACCCGGCAAGCAUCCCUUUUUCAUUAAAAACAUUCCACUCAGGUACAGUCCAUAGGGAAUGAAAAACAUGAAUGAUGGGAUUACAAGUUUUAAAUUCAACAAAGGCCUGAAGGCUUACAAACUAAAAAGAGAUAAGGUGCCUGUAAUCCCUUUCUUGUCCCUCUCCUCAGGAGGCAGGUCAAGGAGGCGAAAGAGACAAAAGGAGCGCCUAGGCGAGCUACGGGUGACAGAAGACACCAAGAGAACAUCUUGGCGGCCGUCCAAAGGCUGGAUGGUGAUGGCGGCGCCGGAAGCAGAGCUCGAAGACGAGGCGGCAGGACGUCAGCACGCGUCGAAUGCGUUGGUGCCCACGUACUCCGACUUGACGGCCUUGCCGCCCGCCCUCUUCCUCUUCCGCAGCCUCCCAACGCCAGCCGCCCAAGGAGACGACCCCAAGAAGUUCAGGGAGCCGGCGACGCGGAUGAUGGGGUCGCCGGUGCCGCACGGAGCGGCACCCGACACCUAAUCGGACCCGUCAUCCUACCGCCUACUACCCUCAUCGUCGCUGCUGCUGUCCUCCUCAUCACUCCCGCCCGAGGAGGAGUCUUCACUAUCAGAAGAGCUCUCCACGCAGCACCUUGCACGGGUCCCAAAGCACCCGAAGACCUUGACAGAGAGAAGGCCACCCUCCAUCAGCUUAAAAAGGAGAGUGAGCCCCUCCUCAAGCGGUGGAUAUGGGCAAAUGUCUUCCAUCCCCGAUGGAGAUACAUCACGUGAGGGGUGGGGAAGUCGACGCGGGCUUGCGUGCCACUGAUCCUGCAACCCCUCAUGUGCAGCCACAAUGACUCUGGCGGAUCCAGCUCCAUCUCCCGCGCGAAUGGAGUCGGGAGACGAAGGCGACGGUGAGGCGGCCGGCGCAGCCUGACGAAGAACUCGCAAGGGUCAUCCCCAAUGUGGCCCUCCAUGGGGGGAGGAACUGCUCUUCCCCGAGCGCCGCCCCAUCCUCCUCUUCCCCGAGCACCUCAGCCUCACCCACGGCGUCGCCCCUCCCCCUUCCCCUCGUGGCUGGCUCUGCCACCGCGGGUGCAGGAGACGGAGGGACGCGUUGUCGAGCGGCGACCCUCGCCGCCACCGUUGAAGGACCAGGAUUCCCUCUCUCCAUGGCGGAUAGAAGAGAGGAGCAGAAGCUGAAGGAAGGAGGAUAUGAAGGAAUGCGGGACGCCAUCCCCCCUCCCGCUCUUUAUAAAGGAACGGGGUGGGGGCUCGGCCGCCCCGCUCAGCCAAUCAAGACGCGGAAGGCGUAGGGAACUGGGACCGACCCGCCACCCCAGCCCGCGGCGGCCCGGUUUCCCGCCUCCACCAUUCGCCACCCCAAGCGCAUGAGAGCCAUGUGGCAGGCGUGCAGGACCGAGGCGACGGGUGAGGCGACCUCUCCCCACCCCGUGAUCGUAGGGAGUGGACGCCUUGAAGACCACACCUCGGCCCCGUUCAGUAAAUGGGUCGCGCACUACUAGGAAAUGGCCUACUAAUGGCGCACACGCCACUAGUAAAUUUUACUAAUGGCGCACCACUGGUGCGCCAUUAGUAUCUGGUAUACUAAUGGCGCACCAUCUAGUGCGCCAUUAGUAUAUAACACCAUGCGCCAUUAGUGUGCCUCCCAGGGGCCAUAUUUAACCAUGUGCUUUGGCACACUAAUGGCGCACUGCGGAUAGAUGCGCCAUUAGUAUACUUGGCAUACUAAUGGCACACUCUGUCUUAAUGCGCCAUUAGUAUCCUUUGGCAUACUGAUGGCGCACUCUGUAUUGAUGCGCCAUUAGUAUUCUUUGGCAUACUAAUGGUGCACCUUGUGGUGAUGCGCCAUUAGUAUGAAUAUUUGGUUUUUUUUACUUUUCUAAUUUUUGCGUAGGUUACAAAAUAUAUUAUUUGACAGAAUAUAGACAGUAGCACACAGCAGCAGCAGAUUCAUCAAAUACAAUAGAAGAUUAGUCUCCGAAUACAAUUCAUCAUAUUAGUCUCCGAAUUCAAAAGACCGAACAAAGAUAAAACAUUACAAGUCUCGAGACCGCGAGUAUCGAGUUUGUCUUCACAUUACAAGUCGAUAUCAAUCAUCUAAACUACCAUCACAUAGAAGAGAGCUGCGGUCAUCACGAUGAGCAUCAUCGCGAUCAAACUGGUCUCCAUCCGGUUCCUCCAACGCUCCCUCCUCUCUCCCUCUAGAUAGCGGGCGUAUCUAGAUUCGGCCUCCACCCUAGUGGUGUACCCUUUGUAACUGUUACCGCUGAAAUGGUGAACCUGUCUCCGACACUCCUCCCAGUCGUCGUAGACUCCGAGAACCUUACCCUUGUACACGACAUACGACGACAUCUCUAUGCACAAGCCAAACAACAGACAAUACAUACAUAAGCAAUAUAUAAGUAUGCAACAAAAGGAUCGGAAGAGAAAAGCAAGACAUUAAUAGCACGAUUCAUGGUCCUACUAAUAAAUAGCAUCGAUUACAUCUAAGUUGAACGACUGUCCAAACCAAAGAGACAUACAAUUCAUUAAAGUUUAAUUACAACAUGAGCCAAUCAAUGUUUCAGAACUACACAUCACUACUUUCGACUCGACUCAUGGACAGGAGCGUGGAUGAAGCCGCCGUCUGUCGUGAUGGUCAUGAAAUCGCGGGCGUUGUCAGCCUGCAUUUGUAGCAUUCCAUCUAUCUCAAUGUUGGACGGUUGAUAUCUGAGGAAGAACUGCCCCGAGGUAUGAAGGACAUCUUGAUGGAUGAUGUCCGCAAACUCCGACUGGAUGCGGAAGAAUUGUUGUCUGAUGUCCGCGUCCUGGAUUGCCGACAAGCUCGCGGCCCAAUCUUUGAGAUUAUUUGGUAGCAGAAGGUGAUGAUGGUCCCUUACAAUCGCCCGCAUGUGAUGGAGGGCAUAGUAGGCAUCCUUCUGACUGCCAGGCGGCUGCUUGACGCAGCAGAACAUCGUAUUGUGGGCGAACACGUGCUUGCCGUACUUACGAACUGCCCUGAUGAAGGUGCCUCCAGAUUUGGCGUAGCCAGGGAGAACAUCAUCAAGAACUUUCUUGAUAUUUGUAUAGUCUAUCUUGGAGUUACGAUUCGGAUCGAAAUACAUGGCCAUGGAAUAUUUCGGGCUUAAGAGGAUGAGUGUGCAAUGUGUGUCACUGCACAGAACACGGAACGUUAGAAAAAAAAGAACGAUCGAAAUCUAAGAAAUCAUAUGUUACGGGGCGGUUAAGGGAUGACUUACUCGGGAAAGUAAGGCACAAGGAAGUUAUCCUUAUCUGGUUUUGCCAAAUUGACGUCUUCGAGGUGUGAACUCGCGACUUGGCGGUCCCCAGCGCUGCUCAAGAGCUUGGCACGCAUGUAGAAGGGGUCGACGAUCACGAUGUCCGGGGUCUUGUCUCUAAUGAUCCGCAUCUCCAUACUCAGCGAAAACAGCCGAACGAAGGUGUAGUGCAGCGGAUGAAGGUUGAACAUAGCAAAGAUGUCAUCAAACCGCAGGACGAUCGUACCCCCGAUGGCGCCAUCCACAAAGCCCUUGCCCUCUGGCACCUUGGCCACAAAAAACGGGUAUGCCACAUCAUUCUCUCUGAGACGCUGCUUCUCCAAAGAAAGAACACUGUCGUGCAGACUCCGCAUAGCACCGGUUGCAGCACUGAGCAUAUUUGUCGGUAGCAUCACCCUACCCGCCACAUGCACCCUCCUCGAGAUAUCCUUAGGUGAAGGUGGCCCGUCCUGAGCACGGAUCAUACUCGGUGCCGGCUGGCUCGCACCGGCGGCCUUUUUAGUCGGCCGUUUCCGACCCUUCUUCUUGAUCUGCUGUAAUGGGACCGAGUUCUUCUCACAUACCGCCUUCUUGAGCGUGUUGGGGCUGAUAAUAUUUGGCACCUCCGCUAUCUGAGGCUCGGUGAAGGCGACAGCUGGAGGCAUCUCCUGAGAACUGAACGCCAGACGACGCCUGUUGCAAUUGGGUUUCUCUGUCGUACCAGCUAGAUCGCGGUCGUCUUGUUUGGGUUCUUGAGAAGGAGGCCCGCAGAAUUCGUCACCGUACCCAUGUUCGGCAAAGUACUUAUCGACGUUGGUAAAUGUACCAUCGUCGUUGUCGUCGUCGUCCGGAUCCUGUGCCAUAGGGAUGUCCGGCAUGUCCGGUAGCGUUGCAGCGUUCUUGCCAUGUCUUGGCGCCGGCACGACUGGCGGUCUUGUCUGUGGGGUGGUGUCCCCCGCCCCCAAAUGAAUCUGGCUCUUCGGCCAAAGCAGGGGCCAGCUUACGCAGGCGCUGAGGGUCAUCUCAUCUUCUUCGUCGGUCCCAGCGGGUCGAAUCGGAGGUAACAGCUCGUCGCACCUGGCAGCACUCGAACCACUUCAACCCUAUACAUUGUGGGUGGCAUCGGAUUACCGUGGAACACGGGGUUGCCCGGUUGAACGAUUCUGCCCUUGGCGACAUCGACCAACUCGCCGCCCACGAAGUGCAGGAGAGUACAAGGAACGUUGGCGGCGCCCUACGAAAACAUGUAGGGCGUCAGGGAUGCCCAGUCAAAGGCAAGGAGAUGAAGUCCUCGGCCGAGAGGCUUAGUUACCGUGAUGCCAUCGAGCUCGGCUAAUGUCGAGGCACCGCCAACGGCGGGCGUGCAACUGACGGAGGGGCCGCUUGCUGGCGAGGUGCCGGCCGGCAUACACUCGGGUGCAUUAAGCUCCAAUGCCGGCGUCGAAGACACCAAUACCGCUGCCGCCGGAGACACCAAUGGCGCCGCCGCCGUAGACACCAAUACCGCCGCCGCCGGAGACACCAAUGGCGCCGCCUGCGUGUUGUGUGAGUUGCUGGCCGUGAAGCUGGGAAUCGGGGGCGGCCCCUGUUGGCCACCCGCAAUCCACGUCGUUAUCCCAUGAAUCAAGGUAGGCAUAAUGCCGGUAAGCAUCGAUCCCAGUUGUUGUUGCACUUGCUCUUGGACCAUCUCCGGAAUCCGCACCACUUGCGCCUUGAGUGCUUCAACCUCGCGCGACUGGCUUUCCAAGCUGGUUUUUUUCUCCUUUCGCCCACCAGCGCCAUAGUAUGACGACCAUUUUGUGGACAAGCCUUUGCCGGCCACACGACCAGCUGACGUCGGCUUAUUGAGCUUAUCCCUGUUUUUCAUUACGUUCAAUGCCCUAUUCAAAGGGGUGUCGAAAGGGGAGCUCUGAGACGACCCCGCGCUACUGCUUUCUUUGUCCUGCGGAAGGAAUGUGAACCAUUUAGAAAUAUUGGGGAUUAAUUAGAAUGCAACCAUAUGGAGCUAAUUAUGCGGGGGUGUAUUCCUUACCAGAACAAGCUCAAGCUCCUUGGUCUUCGGAUCCGUGGUAAGCUCCUUUGUUACCGGGUCCUCCUUGUACCGGGCCCUGAGAAAGUUCCUGGUCUGCUUGUCACUGUAUUUAUCGAAGCGGGGCGGUAGGCCUUGCUCGGCACGCUCCGCGUCCUCCUUGUCCCAUACAGGCUCCGCCACUCUGUAACUGCCAAGACCGAGUUGGUGGACCCCUAUGUUCAACUGACGCAUUUCUUUCCCCCACUGACUUGAUUCGGAGGUUGCGGGGCUCCCGCACUUGAUCUUGAACUCCUUGUAGUCAUCUUCGCUCAUCAAAGGAUAUUUCGCCUUGAUCUUCUCAUAACUAUCACCUUUGUCAAUCAUUGCCUUCACCGUGCUUUUCCAUGUAGACAGGGCCGUGCUCAUCGUCGUGAGGGCGGCACCGUUCACUUUAUUACCCGAGAGGCGUGUGUUUGCGAACUAAGCGGGGAACUUGUAUCGCUCGUGCAGCUUCGUGAAGAGGAGGCUGCGCAAAUUCCCUCGGUCCUUAUGCCUUAGGUUCUCGGUGUUGAUCGAGGCGGUGCUUCGGAGAAUGCACCCGAGCUGAAUCGAGUACCCCUUGACUACGUGUUUGGGCACCGUCGGAUGCCCGUCGGAGUUCACUUCAGUAAAUUCCUCCUUGACGGUGCCGAGCACGUUCGGGCGCCGGUCCUUUCGUUGCCUCUUCAGUUGGCUGCCAUCUGUGCGUGCACCGCCAUCAUCAGUGGUGGCAUCCGCGGCGCCAUCAUCAGUGGUGUCAUCCCCGACGCCACUAGGGGUUGUGUAGUCAGGAUCGGUGUCUUCCGCGGCGUCCUCAUAGCGGUGAGGUUCUUCCUCCAACUCCUGGGACAGCUCCCAGAAUUGCUUGCCGCCCGAACCGCCGGCCUCAUUGUUGUGGGCCAUGUUUCGCUCUAAAUAGGAAAAAGUUUGGUCAAAAAGUUGGUUAUUGUCAAGGAACAAGAUCAUGGUCUCAUCAUUUAGGGUUUGUCGACACCGAGGCAUCCUAAAAGCUAAGCUUUUAUCAUUUAGGGUUUGUCGACGCCGAGGCACCCUAAAAGCCUAAGCAUACAUCAUUUAGGUUCUCAUCGACACCGAGGCACCCUAUAGAAGCCAAAGUUUCAUCAUUUAGGGUUUGUCGACGCUGAGGCACCCUAAAUGCUAAGUUAAGUUUUCAUCAUUUAGGGUUUAUCGAUGCCGAGGCACCCUAGGUUGGGCCUAAUCACUUGGCACUAAUCACUUGGCUCUAUUGCCACCUAUGCAGCAAGAAUGGCGGGGCAGUUGAUCCUACUUAACUAAGUACUAAGAUACCCUGGCCCAUGCAUUAGUCGCAAGUACCCCAUAUGUCCUAUUUUUAGCAAAGUCAUGCUAAAAUUCACGGAAAAUUUCAGCAUGACCUUUGCUGAAAAUAGGACAUAUGGAGUACCCGAAUUUGUCAGAACGGAAGUUAAUCGACAUUCCGGCAAACUCAAGGGCCUCUCAGGAUACCUGCAAUAUCAUUAUCCCUGCGUAAUGAAGUCGCCAAUGGGUUAUUUCAGAAGAUCACAAGUAGCAUCAUCACAAGUACAACAUCAUCUAUAACUUUAUAUUAACAAAGCAUCAGCACAUAUACAAAAGACCACUUAUGCCAACAGUAUGGUUUAUAUCAGAUUCAGAGUUAGAAACAGGAAAAACCGGUGCUUCAAAGCCUACUGGACACAAUUUACAUCUAUCAGUACGGGAUGUCCUAACUAAUUUCAAGUGUUCAUAGGUGAACUUGUACCAUGGAUGAGCCUAGUGUUUCAUUAGUCAACUGAACAGAGAUAAUAGGGCACAACACCAUACAUAAAGUGAUGAGCAUACAUACUACUGUCCAAGCAAAUUAACUGAAUAGUAUUGUGUCAAGUUCAGUUUGAAAAUUCAGUUACUGCUUGAGUGAUUUGACACCAAAAAUUACUCCCAAAAAUUACAAUGAUUGUAUAUUGACUGCAUAUAUUCACUGUACAGGACUGAAUUCAGUCAAGAAAACCUGUCAAUUUCUGUUCACUGCAUAUAUUCACUGUACAGGCUGUCAAGUUCUAUUUCAGCUCAAGAAUGGCACACUCAACUUCAUUGCUUCAACCACAUGGACAACUGAGCAAAUGUUGGAAGUUGACAAUAUACUUUAGAUUCACACAUGCUCCCCUAAUUAUUUUGUCUGUAUCUUUAAAUUAUCUACUUUAGGCACAAUCAUACACAAUUCUAACUAAUUCAUCACUAUAGGCCAGCAUGAAACACACUCCUCCAAAAAAGCCUAAAAUUCCACUAUUAUUGCCUGUAAAAAGGCCUAAUAUCCACUAGUAUUGCCUCUAAAAAGCCUUAAAAGUCCACUAUUGUUGACAAUCAAAAUAUGAUCUGAACUGUAAGGAGUUAACUGAAAAAUGAGUGGUUGUUGGCAUGAGGGAGUAAACUGAUUGUUGGCACAAAAAUAUUGGUUCUGCAAACAUGAAAACAGUCACAAAAAUAAUGCACUUGGUUUGUGUUGAGUUUUUGCUUUCAGGGAUUGGUUUGUGUUGAGUUGUUAACCUAAAGGUUCGGCAGUUUGAAUCUCCUUUAGCUAGUUUGAAUCCAUGGACUACCCUGUUAGAUUGGGACUGAAGAUAGGUACCUGCUUAUCUUUCUAUUCCGUCACCAACAAUGGCUUUUCCAAGAAUAAUAUCCCUGCAUGAACAUAGGUGAGAGGUUAACUAACUGCCUCAAAGGCAUAAUCAAUCCAUUAGCUCGAAGAAAUAAUGCGAUUGACACGUCAAAACUAUGAUAGAAAUGUAAAACUUGAGGGCAACUACGACAUGGCAAGAAAGAACUCAUAUGUAGUGAUGGCAGAACGUAUGAAUUUGCCGCGGCAAAAUUUGGUUCUCCCUAAAAACAAAAUGGAAAAAUUGUGGUGGAACGAAUCUAAAUUUGCCAUUCACUGCAUAUUGGAAAUUGCCCUAGAAUACCCCUACCAGUUCUGAACCAGAUUAAAAACUACAUAUCACAAAAAUACCAUGGUACAGAAUGGUGGUGAAAUUUGCCAUGACAUUUCUACUAGUGCACUAGGUCAUGGCAUGUCAUCUGUACUAGUCUACUGGGUCAUGGGAUGCAAUUUGGGGUGAGAAAACUAAACACAAAAUUCGGAUGUGCCUCUACUGGGUCAUGGCACAUCAAUUUACAGAUAAUCAAACUAACAAAUAUGAAAAAAAGACGGGGGGUUGAGGAUGUUGCCACCAGCAGUGGAAAAGGAGGAAGGAGGAGGCCCUCCCCAAUCUUGCAACCAUAGACUGCCACAGUCGAGGGGAAGGAGGGAAUGGGGAAUGGUGGAGAGAGGGAGGAAGGAGGAAGGAGGAGAGGUACCUGGUCGCCGGAGGGGUUGGGGUCGGGGUCCGAGCUCGUCCGGUUCCUCGCUUGCCGCGGUCGAAGGAGAGCAGGGGGCCAGUGGCGGAGGACGGCAGGGGCAGGUGGGGUGGAGGGAGCACCUUGGUUGGGGCGGAGCGGCGAGAGCGACGGGGCAACGGAGCGGCGAAGGCGACGGACGGGAGGAUGAGGCAUGGCGGACGGCGGCGGUCGAAACCCUAGGCGGUCGCUCGCUCGCUUCUAGGGUUGGGUUGGGGGUGGGUCGAUCGAUUGAUGGGGAUCUGGUGGCGAGGGAGAGAGGGUCGAAGGGGAUCUGGCGAGGGAGAGGGAGAUAGCUAGGGGAGGCUUACUAAUGGCGCACCAGACCACGGUGCGCCAUUAGAAGUCUUCUUUUUAGAUAGCAAUGGCGCACCCCGCAGCGGUGCGCCGGCGCACCCCGCAGCGAUGCGCCAUUAGAAAUCUUUUUUUAGAUAGCAAUGGCGCACCCGGCAGCGGUGCGCCAUUAGAAAUCUUUUUUAGAUAGCAAUGGCGCACCCCGCAGCGGUACGCCAUUAGAAUUUUUUAAUUACAGUUCGAGCACAAGUUAUAUUGCACCUAACCCAAUCCACAUCAGAACCUGCCCACUAGCCUGACUGGUCAGCACGCAGCACACACACCAAGAGGUCCUGGGUUCGAUUCCUAGGCUUCGCAAUAUUUUUUUGCAUUUUAAAUACGGUUUGAUAUUUAUUUGUGUUUAAAUAUGUUCAUACUUGUUUAAAUCAUAACAGUAAUAUUUUUUUAUAAAAACAGUAAUAAUUUUUUUAAAAAUAUAUUCAAAUUUGUUACUUGAAAAUAUUAUCGGCGGCGGCGGUGGAGCGGGGGAGGGUGCGGGGGGUGCCCGUUGGCGGCGGUGGAGCGGGGGAGGGUGCGGGGGGGCGGGUGCUCGUCGGCGGCGGUGGAGGGGGAUCGAGAUCGAGUGUCCUCAUGAAUUCAAAAAGUGCCCGUGAAAUUGAAAAAUAUUCAUGAUAUCAAAAAGUGCCCAUGAAAUACAAUCGAGAAAUGAAGACUACGAUUUAAAUACAAUCGAUCUUAGCUAGCUAUCUGUUCAAAUCUUCUUGCCCUUCUUUUUCGCAAAUGGAGUUCUUCUAUGGAACGGACGUCCUUUAGGUAGGGUGGUCCUGCUUCUUCUUGUGGUGUGUGCUGCUACUUUAUCGUCAUCGUCAUGUUCGAUCUUCGGGUCACCGUACUUGUCGAAGUCGUGCUCAUUGGCUACUCCAUCCAUUCCGAUGAUCUUCCUUUUGCCUCUCCUCACGACAACAUGACUGGGCUUUGACGGGUCGGUAAUGAAGAAGCAUUGGUCCAUUUGGGAAGCCAGUACCCAUGGCUCAUUUUUCGCGGUGACAUUUGCGCCCGCGGUCUUGGAUUUGGUUUCAGGUAUAACCAUGGUGGUGAAAUACUGGUCUUCUUUUAGGACGCUCUUGGCCCAUCUGACACAGAACAUCGAGACCUUCUCUCCAGCGUAGCUCAGCUCCCAGAUCUCCUCGAUCCUUCCGUAGUAUCUGUCCUUGUCGUUACCGGUGUAGGAUUCCAUCGUUACCCCGGAGUUCUGAUAACCAUCGCUCUUCAUGUCCUUGUCCUCGGUGUAGAAUGUGUGGCCGUUGAUAUCGUACACCUCAUAGGUCAUCAGGUUGUGCUUGGCGCCCUGUGACAAGGCGAAUAUGAGUUGUUCUUUCGCGGAAGAAUCCUCAUGUAAAGGGUAUGACAGAAGCUUCUGCUUGAACCAACGCGUGAAACAUGAGUUGUGCUCUUUGAUUAUAUCUCCGUCCGUCCUCUGUUGGCCUCGGUCAUUGUACCUCUUCUCAAUAAAGGUUUUGUGCUCUACCACCCAAGGAUCGACCACGUCUAUGUGUUGUAGCGCGACUAGGUUUGCUCUUUCAAAGUCGGCGAGUCGACCCUCGAAGUCGACAUGCAUUUCGCGGCGACCCUCACGGUGACCCCAUCCAGCGAGCCUGCCGAGGUGCCUGUUGACGGGCAGACCAACGGGGUUCUCGAUGCCUAGAUAAUUCGUGCAAUAGGAGAUGCACUCUUCGGUCAGAAAGCCCCUGGCUAUACUUCCCUCUGACGUGACAUGUUGCGAAUGUAUCCUUUGAUGACACCAUUCAUCCUUUCGAACGACAUCAUGCUGUGCAGGAACAUCGGCCCGAGUUGGAUGAUAUCCUUCACGAUAUGGACCAGCAGAUGCACCAUAACGUCGAAGAAUGCGGGCGGGAAGUACAUCUCAAGCUCGCAUAGUAUCACCACGAUCUCUUCCUGUAGCCUUCUGAGUUGCCUCACGCCAAUCGACUUUCGAGAGAUGACGUCGAAAAAGUUGCAUAGGCCAAAUAGCGUUUCACGGACGUGCGCGUCCAUGAUCCCACGGAUUGCAACUGGAAGUAUCUGCGUCAUCAGCAUGUGACAGUCGUGAGACUUCAUCCCGCUGAACUUCUACUUCGCUGGGUCUAGGUAUCUGCUUAUCUUCCCCGCGUAACCGUAAGGAAGUUUUACUCCUACGAGGCAGGUGAAAAAUUGCUCGAUCUCCUCCUGACUUAGAGUGAAGCACGCGGGAGGGUAGUCACUUCCGGUCUUCUUGGCCUUUUUGCCUUUGCGACGAGUUUCUGUGUCCUGCUUUGCCUCAUCAUCAUCAUCAUCAUCAUCAUCAUCAUCAUCAUCAUCAUCAUCAUUAGCGUGAAGCUCCUGCCUGAUGCCCAUUGAUUUUAAGUCUGCCCUUGCUUUCGGCCCAUCUUUGGUCCUCUCUGGCAUGUUGAGCAGGGUACCAAGUAGACUCUCGCACACGUUCUUCGUGAUAUGCAUGGCAUCAAGGCUGUGAGGCACACGGUGGAUCUUACAGUAUGGCAAGUCCCAAAAAACAGAACUCAUUUUCCAUACCUUCAGCAGCAGCUCUGGCACCUUUCGCUUCUUUCCCGGCUCUGGCGCCUUUUGCUUCUUUCCCGGCAGUGGGCAAUCUUUCCAAUUUUUCAACAGCUCGUCUAUUUCCUCGCCGCUCCUCAUACGCGGGCGUUUUCGGGGUUCGGUUUCACCAUCGAACAGAUCCUUGCGUUUCCUCCACGGGUCAUCGUCGCGAAGCCACCUUUGAUGUCCCAUGAACACGGUUUUCGAAGAUCCGGGAUCUCUAUCUAGCUGGCGAUACGUUGUGUCAUCCAUGCACCUUACGCAUCCAGAAAAUCCGUGGACUACCUGCCCCGCGAGAUAUCCGUAACUGAGAUAGUCGUGCACCGUCGUGAGCAGUGCGGCUCUCAUAGGGAAAUAUUCUUUCUCUGCGGCAUCCCACGUAUUGGUUGGCGUUUUCCACAGCGUGUCUAGCUCCUCUUUCAGCAGCCCCGGAUACAGAUUGAUGUCGUUCCCUGGUUGUUUCGGCCCUUCAAUUAGCAUACUCAUGUGAAUGUACUUACUCUUCAUGCACAACCAGGGGGAAAGAUUGUACAUCCACACAAACACAGGUCACGUGCUAUGUGUGCUUCUCUGGCUGCCAAACGGAUUGACUACAUCGGUGCUCGCGCCCAGCACGAUGUUCCUUGGAUCCUUCUCAAAUUCUGGGUAUUCGAAGUUCAACGCUUGCCACUGGCUCGCAUCCUUAGGGUGACUCAGCAUCUUGUCUUUUUUAUUUAUCUUCGGAUCAUUUCCGUCAUCUUCCCGCUUCUUCUCCUCCCUAUCCGCGUGCCAACGCAGGAGCUUUGCUACCUUAGGGUCCGCGAAAUACCGCUGCAGACGAGGAGUGAUCGGAAAGUACCACACCGAUUUUCGAGGAGCUUUCUUCCUUUUCUUGUAUCGAGUGAUGCCGCACACCGGACAUAUGGUAGACUCCGCAUGCUCGUCCCGAUAAAUAAUGCAAUUGUUCAUGCACACAUGGUAUUUCACGUGUGGUAAAUCCAGAGGACACACAAUUUUCUUCGCCUCCUCGAAACUGGUCGGGCACUUGUUCCCCUUGGGAAGACGUUCGUGCCAGAAUGACAUGUUCUCGCCGAAGCAUGCGUCGGUCAUUUUGUAUUUUAUCAUCAUCUCCAGAGCCAUGACCGUUAUUUUCAGGCGGGUAUCCUCGGGCCUGCAUCCUUCAUACAAUGGAGUAACCGCGUCUAUCUCCAGUUGAUCCAGCUUGUCUUUCUCUCGGGCGCCAGCUCUUGCGUUAUCCGUCUGCUUGAGAAGCAGCUCUUGAAUAUGAGGGUCCUGCACCCAGCCUCCAUCGUCGUCUGCUCCGACAUCUUCAUCUUCAUGAUCAUGCCCUUCGUCUUGAUCUUCCUCAUCAUCAUGUAUGACAUCUUCUACAUGAUGACUGUGUACAGCAUCACCUCGUGAUCAUGUUCUGGAGAUUCUUCGUCUUCUCGCCCGCCCUCGCCGCGGUGGUACUUGUCUUGUUGCCCUUCCUCAUUUCUUGCCCGGCCCCCAUGGACGACUUCAUAGUCAUCUUCAUCACCUUGCCACCGAUAGCCAUCCAUGAAACCACGCAAGAGCAGGUGGUCCCGCACCUGCCCGGAAUCCGGGUCCGCAAUAAGGCUCUUCUGCUUGCAUCUUCGACACGGACAUCUUAUCUCCGUCACGUUCUUUUGAAGUAUCUCGGCCUUCGCGGAGCUCAAAAACCUAUUCAUGAUGCCUUCGGUCAUCGUGCGGACCAUGGUCGCCUGCGGGGUAGAGCAAAACGAUAUUUUAGAACCAAGAAAUUUUUUGGCAUGACCUUCCCUAAAAAUAGGACCAAAAAGAAUGCAUAGUGCCAAAAUUCUCGCCGAAACAGAAAUGAAUCAACAUUCCGGCAAAAUAUUGGCAACUAUCGCAUUUCAAAUACCGGUACCUGCAAACACAAACAUAUAUGCAACACCACAAACACAUGCAACACCACAAACAUACAUAGAUCUAGCUAGGCCACAAAAAGUGCAUGUGCAUGUUGUUGGAGCGAGCUAGGGAGAAAAAAAAGUAGAUCUACAUCAUGAAGAUAGCUUUCCCCUUAUUUACCUAUAAAAAAAGGUAAUUUCACCACUUAAUUUUGAUGAAUCUAUGGUGAAAAUGAGGUGAGGAGGAGGAGGCAGCCGAAAGCUUGGAGAAGGAGGUGGAGGGAAUGAAGUGGGGAAAGUGAGUGGGUAGGUGUGGGGCUGUCCAAAAUAUCUUCUUGGGUCCCAGGUUACUAAUGGCGUACCACCUGCAAAUGCGCCAUUAGUAACCCUGGUUACUAAUGGUGCACCUGCAGGUGGUGCGCCAUUAGUAGUUUUGCAGAAAAGUAAUAUANNNNNNNNNNNNNNNNNNNNNNNNNNNNNNNNNNNNNNNNNNNNNNNNNNNNNNNNNNNNNNNNNNNNNNNNNNNNNNNNNNNNNNNNNNNNNNNNNNNNNNNNNNNNNNNNNNNNNNNNNNNNNNNNNNNNNNNNNNNNNNNNNNNNNNNNNNNNNNNNNNNNNNNNNNNNNNNNNNNNNNNNNNNNNNNNNNNNNNNNNNNNNNNNNNNNNNNNNNNNNNNNNNNNNNNNNNNNNNNNNNNNNNNNNNNNNNNNNNNNNNNNNNNNNNNNNNNNNNNNNNNNNNNNNNNNNNNNNNNNNNNNNNNNNNNNNNNNNNNNNNNNNNNNNNNNNNNNNNNNNNNNNNNNNNNNNNNNNNNNNNNNNNNNNNNNNNNNNNNNNNNNNNNNNNNNNNNNNNNNNNNNNNNNNNNNNNNNNNNNNNNNNNNNNNNNNNNNNNNNNNNNNNNNNNNNNNNNNNNNNNNNNNNNNNNNNNNNNNNNNNNNNNNNNNNNNNNNNNNNNNNNNNNNNNNNNNNNNNNNNNNNNNNNNNNNNNNNNNNNNNNNAUAUACUAAUGACGCAUUUUUACAGGGUGCGCCAUUAGUAAUUUAAACUAGUAAUGGCGCACUGUGAGGCGGUGCGCCAUUAGUAGUUUUGCAACAAAAAAAAUCAGUACUGGCGCACUCCAUGUCUGGUGCGCCAUUACUAGUUAGAACUAGUAAUAGCGCACUUCGGUAGGAUGCGCCAUUAGUAUGUAUGUAAAAAUGAAAAAAAAAAUUAUCACUAGUGCAGCACCAGUUUUCUGGUGCGCCAUUAGUGUCUUCCACAUUAAUGGCGCAUCACCAACUGGUGCGCCAUUAGUAUAUAGUAGUGGCGCACUACUUCCCUGGUGCGCCAUUAGUGUCAAUCCUAUCUAUAGCCCUUUUCCUAGUAGUGGCGCCUCCACGCCUCCCUCCGUUUAUGGGGAGGGUGCGAACCGCCCCCUUUACUACGACGUGACGCAUGCAUGCAGAGUUCAGCCCCACGCAUGCCGCCCACGUCACACAUGCCUCCUCACGCCGCGCCACGCGCGGGAAGCGUGGGAAGCACAGCGCAUGAAGAAACUUACCACGGUAAAAACCAUCCCGCCUGCCCGCGCAUCGUUUUUGGGCCUAGCCCAAUGACGCGAUUGCGCUUACGUGUGGCCCAUGCCCGGGGGCUCCUGUCGGUGUACAAAAAGAGGGGGUACACUUUUUGUACUCCUAUAACUGUGCACGGGCAGUCUGAGCCACGGGCGGCACCACACUGAGCAAGGCAAGGGAGGUGAGCCAAGGUAAGGCCGAAGCUCAGGAGAAGCAGAACGAUGCCAAGACCAAGACCACAAAGAGCAAAGGGGACGAAGCGGACCCCCCCGGCAAGAUCCUUGCCGGGAGGUGGUUUUAGCAAACCCGGCAAGACCCUUGCCGUGGCAGCUCGCCCCACACCUACAGAGUAGGUCACCCUUGAGUUCACUGCCCCCAUGGGGCAAGGAUUCGGGAGACAUCCCCGUGGUGGCAUGCAGAUCUUUGUGAAGACAUUCAAGAUCAGAUACACCCUUUAGAAGAUGAUGAUCCUUGGCGGGAUCCCAGUCAAGGAGGACCACAAGGCCCCCGGCAAGAGCCUUGCCGGGGAUGACAGCAGGCGCCACGGCAAGACCCUUGCCGGGGCCCCGGCAAGGCCCUUGCCAAGAACACCCGUAGGGCCACCAUCAGGCCCACGCCAGUCAAAUCUCCACCGCCGUUCGCAUGUAGCUGCCGACCCAACCAGCUUGGCAGGCACCUGCGUGGCGGCAUGCGGAUCUUCGUGGAGACCCACCACUGCGCCACCUCAGCUGCCUGCCUGCCUACAUGGCACCGCGGGAGCCGCUGGCCAGGGCGCAUGUCGACACGAGAGGGAGCGGCAACGAACGAGACAGGGCUUUCCCCCGUCCCCGAUAAAGCAGGGACACCUGGGCAAGACGCAUUAAAUGUGCCUUGUCAUGUAAUGCAAGGGAUAACCUCACAUCAUUGUACCCUUUCCACCUCCUGUGUGCCACUGUGGCAACCCCUUUCCUAUAAAAGGAGGCCCGGGGCGACCAGGAGGAGGAUUCUGCUUUUUGGAGCUCCUCACGCCCCAUAGCUAGCUCAAGAACACAGAUAUACAAUCCACCAAAGCAGGAGUAGGGUUUUACUCAUCCUCACGGCCCGAACCUGAAUAAACAAACCGUGUGUUAUCUGUUUGAUGAUCCGCUCUUCUCACGACCCCGCGCCCCGCAACCGUAGUAGGAAUUCUUGUGAUCCCAUAGGCAUUGUUCCCACCGACAGAGACCGAAUGAUUUGUGUCCAGACCAGACCAGACCAAUCCAACCCGAUAGUUGAUAAAACCCAAAAUAGACGGGAUUGCCUUGCUUUAGAUUCUCAGACUACUUAAACCAACCCAACACAGUCCAAUAGCAACCAACCUGAAACUAAGGUUUCAGCCCAAACUAUUCCCAGGUCUAGCUGUGCACCUGAUCAAAAUUAAGGUGACCAAUUCUACUUUUUACAUUACAAAGAAGACAAUCUAUACUAAGAUGGCGCCGCAUAGGUCUGCAGGUGUUUACUGUGGAUCGAUCUCUGACGCUUACACAAGCAGUCACAGAUCUUGCAGUAGAAUUCACCCUCUGCUUCCUCCUCUUACCGGCUCUCAUCAGCGGCAGCAGGGGAGGAGAGGCGGUUGUAGCGACGUAUCCCGGCCGGAUCCGUGCGUGGAGGAGACCGGGAAGGUGAUCGGAUGGGAUCUAGAGUCCGUGGAGGAGACCUGCUCGGACACACGGCCUUGCCGGACACGGACUCCCCAUGAACCGCCCUCCUUUUGCCACAUAAAUAGGCCUCGAGCCCUCUACGGAAGCGUCCAAUCUCCCGGUCAUUCAAUCUCGCCGUUCUACCAACUCCGCCGCCCGUGCUCCACCUCCACACGCUGUCGUACAAUCUUGCCAUCAUCGCCGGACCGCCCGUGCUCCACCUGAGGUAACGCCUGGUCUCAUGCCAAGCUAAAUUCGGUCCUGUCUAUUCGGAGAAGUCAUGAUCUUUCUCUGUGUGUCUGCAGUCUGCAGUCUUCACUCUGCAACCAUAGCUACCAUCGUCAUUACCUGUCUGCACUCUGUAAGCCUGAUAGAUUAGCGACAAAGUAGGCUAUCUAUGAAUACACACACACUAGAGUACUUCAUAGUGGCGCCUGGCCUGGUAGUUCAAAUAUCUGGAGAAAAUACCUAUCCAGUGUUGUACGUGAAAGAGUUGACCGGAGCUGUUGCAAGAUGAUCUGCUUUGUACUCUGAAAGUUUGUUUGCUUGAGUUCACUUUCCCAAAGCUAGCUACGACACUGGAUGCCAGAAGACCAAUCUGGCAUAAUGAGAGAGAAUAAUUAGAAAAUAAUAUAUGCCAUGUUCUCUAUUACCUGAUCAGGUUUCGGCUCAAACUGUGGUGCUCCUAUUCCAUGCAAUUUUAUUUUCUUGAUGAUGCUCUGCUCUGGCAUUCAUUCUCUGUUAUACCUGAUGUGUGUCUUAAGGCUAGUUAUAACUAUUGUCACCAAUGGUAAAUCUACUGAACAAACUCAUGAGUUAUCCCCAUCGUUUGUCUUAAGGCUAAUCUAUGCAUGGUUAGUUUUCCUUGCUGUACAAAGGUCAUCGCUCUUUUGUAUAUCCUUCUUCUCUUUCCUUUACAGUAAAACAUAGACCAUGCUCAUGCUCGCAUUGUUGCAACUUGCAAUUAGUUCCAGAUUUUUUCGUAGGUGUCAUUCAAGGUCAGAGUAAAUAUUUAGCAGUGUGCCAACUUCAAGCCCCCUCUGUCGAAAUCCAAAAAUCCAGUAGCUUAUGUAGCCUAUAAUUAGCUUCUACAGAUUCGUAGCUGAUUUCUGUCAAAAUGAAUAGAUGGACACCCACUAUUUACAAUAUUAUUAAUUUUUCUCCCUGUUUGAUUGAACUCCAUGCUGAUUACACCUUCACACAAUAUAAAAUAUUGUUUGAGCAAUCUGACUGUGGGAUGUUUAACUUUUAUUUUGGUUGUUAUUGCAGAAAGUGAAUGACAACACUGACUUGACCAUUGUUGUGGAUUUUGAUAACCGACCUUCAAAAAAAGCCAAAUUUUUUGAAUCAGAUUUUUUGGAGCCAUCACCUAUGUCACUAACCAUCUCAACAUUACCUUUGGUUUUUGAAUGUUUUGAAUCAAUUGUUCUGGAAUCAGAUAGACAUUGAUCCAUUGACAUGACCUCCGUCACCAACUAGCUCGACAAUACCUCCAGUUUCUGCAUGUAUGAAUGAAGGAAAAGUUUAAUCGAUGAUGAUAAGCAACCAGAGGAAUAUGAAGAAAUAAAAGUUGAUGAAACAUACGACUACCUCCCACUAGGUAAUUGUUUGAUUUAUGAUGUGUACUUUUGUAUCUAGCAUCUUAAAUGCCAUUUUACUAUUUAUUAUUAUUAUUGUUUGUGUAUGUGCACGGUUAAUCCAUAUUUACACAUGGAUUUAUUCAAAUUAUUUUACUUUUUGCAGAUUAUGCAUUGACCAACCAUGAUGUAUGUGUUCAUAUAGCAAUAGAAACAUCUUUUGAAAAAACAAUUACAGGUGAAGAUAGAUGAAACAUCUGCCAAACAACAUCAGCUGUUGUGCCUGCUAGAUGAAAAAGGGAGGCUAAACAAUAAUGUAAGUACGGGAUGUCAAUCUUGGAAUACAUGAAGACAGUACCUUUAUGAAAAUAGAUUGUCAAAAACUAUGUGAAGCAUGACAUGGUAACAUCCAUAUUCUUAAUUUUCAUGUUCUGAGUUUAAUACAUAUUUAUUGGUAAUUUUACCAGUUAUCUUGAUUAUAGAAUGAACUUCCAAUAAAUAUGAACAACACACAUUGCUAUUUAACUGUUGGGAACGUGACAAAUUGUGAGAUUACAGUACUUGACUCAUUGUGUUGGGAGUUUGACCAAGAUGAUCUCAGUACGGUUGGUUACUACAUAAAGUAUAAUAAAUGUAGUAACUAACCAUAGUAAUGAGAUCAUCUCAGUCAAACUCGCAACCCAAUGAGUCGAGUACUUGAAUCUCACACCAUUUUUGCAUUCACAACAGCUAAAUACCAAUGUGUGUUGUUCAUAUUUAUUGGAAGUUUAAUCUAUAAUCAAGAUAAUCAGUAAAAUUAUGAAUAAAAAUAUAUAUGAAACACAAAACAUGAUAAUUACGUAUAUGGAUGUUUCCAUGUCAUGCUUCACAUAAUUUUUGACAAUCUCUGUCAUAAAGGUACCAUGUCGCCAUCCUGUUUUGACGGUCCGGUAACAAAAUGAUUCUCAAAAUAUACUUUACUAUCAUUCUAGGGCAUGUACUUGGUCUUAUAUACAAAGUUUGACUAAAUUUAUAUAUUAUUAAAAAAAUAUCAACAUCAUCUAUAAUACUUGAGGUAUAUAUAGUACUCCUACACUAGUAGAAAAAGGGUCAAACGUGAAGCACAUUAGUGCCAGUUUGUAUUUGAGCCGGUACUAAUGGUAUCAUUAGUGCCGGUUCGAACGGAUUUGCAUUAAUACCGGUUCGUGUUGAACCUUUAGUACCGGUUCGUGGCACGAACCGGUACUAAAGGGGUGGUGGCAGGCUGGCGUCAGGCCGGGGCCCCAUGAUCACCUUUAGUACCGGUUCUUGGCACGAACCGGUAUUAAAGGUCUAACCUUUAGUACCGGUUCGUGCCACGAACCGGUACUAAAGGGGUCUAACCUAUAGUACCGGUUCGUGGCACGAACCGGUACUAAAGGUCCCAUUUUCAAACUCUCCCCCCCCCUGGAUCGCCUUUUCAGUUUUAAAAAAAAUAAAAGAAAAUAAUGGAAAUGUCAAAAAAAUAAAAGAAAAUAAGUUUCUCAUGUGAUAUGUGGUCUAGUUGUUGGUAAAAUUUGCAAAUGUGAAUUUUGACUUUAUUUUCAAAAUCUCUCUGAAAUUUGUAAAAAUGGGCAUUUUCAAAAUCCUCAAAAACCUAAUAGAAAAAAAGUUACCGGGCUUUUAAGAUCUAGAGUGGAAAAAAUAGAAAAAUAUUCAAACAGUGGGCAAACUGUGGUCAAACAAUGGUCAAACUAAUUAUUCAGAAUAUUAGUGUUACUAAAUAAUUAUUUUAGUUAUUUCAAUUUUGGUCAAAUCUGGUCAAACUAUGGUCAAACUGUGGUCAAACAAUGGUCAAACUAAUUAUUCAAGAAAUAUUAGUGUUACUAAAUAAUUAUUGUUUUUUAAAACAAUAGUUUCAAACUCAAAUAGUGAAAUGUGUCACUUCAUGCUCAAGCAAAAUUCCUGAAGGUUAAUAGGAUUGACAUCUUACUAUUGUCAGGAAAACAACAAGUGCAGACUCGGAAACGAAGGAGAAUAGAACCUGAAAGUUAAGCGUGCUCGGGCUGGAGUAGUGACAGGGAUGGGUGACCGGUCGGGAAGUUAGAUGAUUUGGAAUGAGUGAUCCACACUUGAGCAGUUAAGAGAGGUGAUUAGAGACUAAAUCAUCAAAUAAUUCAGAAAAAAUAAAAAUAAAAAAACAAAAUUUUUUUCCAAAAUUUUCAAAAAAAAAUUCAAAAAAAACCUUUAGUACCAGGGCGCGAGCUCACGCCACGUGGUGGCACUUUAGCGCCGGUUCGUGCCGAACCGGUACUAAAGGGGGGGGGGCUUUAGUGCCGAAACCUUAGUGCCGGUUCCAUAACCGGCACUAAAGGCCCUUACAAAUCGGUACUAAUGGUCCGUUUUCUACUAGUGCUAGUACAAAGUUGAGUCACUUAUUUUGGGACGAAGGGAGUAUGAAAAUGAAUUUCAUGAUGCAUCUAAUGAAAUUAUUUUUCAUCUAUAAACAUAUGCAUUUUGUGUUGUGAACGUUGAUAUCUUUUCAUAUAAACUUGGUCAAAUUUUACGAAGUUUGACUUCAAACAAAUUUUAUAUGCAAACUAAAAAAACGGAAGGACUAUCAAUAAUGACAAUAAAUGAUGAUUUAAAAAGAAAGAAUAGAAUCAAGCGGUAGCGGAGAACCUGUCUGGUCUCAUAUCACCCAGAGUGUCAUCUUCGUGAACACCCGCCGCAUGGUGGACGGAGGAGUUCUUCACAUCCUUCAACGCGGUCGCCAUGGACAAGAAGUCGAGAUCCUUCCGCGUGGCCGGUAUGGACAAGAUGAUGAGACAAGGACUAGCGAGAUGCUAAUUCCUGCAUGUAGAUGGCCCGAUCUUUCACGGCGAUGCUUGAUCAACAGUUCGUCCCCCUGUUCCUCCUUGCAACCUUCAAGAUAAUUUUCACCCGCGUAUGAAAAUAUACGAAUAAAAAUAAUGACCCCUUUGGAUCAGCACAUAGGCGUUGAUGUGAUGAUCAACCCUCCGUCGCUAGUAAAUUUCCACGAUGAGAAAAUCACAGAUAAUACAUAAGACAUGAUCGUUCGUAAUUCGAACGUUUUUCUGUAUAUCUCAUACUCGGAAUAAAACUCCAAAACUCCUCCAUACACGGCCGUAGCCUGGCAUUUAAAUAGCCGUCUCACGUCGGUGCCAACUAGAAAAAAGAACUAACACAAAUAUCUUCCUAAACAAGUCGUGCAAGACUUGAACUACUUUGAAGGAAACAAAAUCUUAACAAACCACGCAAACGGUGAUUACUACUCUAUCUAAGAAACCUUCCUAAUAAAAUAUUCUAGUUGACAAUUUUGUACGUAUGCAUGCACUUUUGAGAUUGCAUGCAAACGCCUUGUUCCACGGCAAUCAAAAUUGCACCGAUCCUGAUCCAUCUUGGUGGAGUUCUAAACGUGGGUUGCACCUCUUCUGGUUCUGGUUCCUUGCUCGUCAUCGGUUGAAUAAUGUUGUUGUGAACCCCUAGCGCUUGUACAUAUUUAUUUUCAUCUCGUAUUUUUAGACCACAUAAUACUCGCAACUUUCCGUCCGUUCCAUGAUGAAUAUUAUGUUGCAUCACACUGGAUCUGCUCUGACAAGGUAUAUUAUAGUUCUUUUUAUCAUAGUUUGAGCGAGUAAUCAAAUUACCACUCAUCUCUUUCAUUGAAUUUCCGUGUGUCACCAUGGUCAUAUCAUCCUCUCGCCCUUGAAGCGAAACCGUCCCUGGUUUCGUGUCAAUUUUGUGCACCCCCUUCUCCGUAAUUUGUAGCUCUAUCUUGAUUUCCUUCUCUGCCAUUGGUUUUAGCAUGUGUCGCCUUCCAUCAUGCAUAAAUGUGUAAGUGUUGGAUUUCCCUGCGUGUACAGCAUCAUAAUCAUACUGCCAUGGUCUUCCUAAUAGUAAAUGACACGCGUCCAUCGGCACAACAUCACAGUCCACCUUGUCAAUAUAAUCUCCAACCCGCAAAUGUUACGCGUACCUUAUGUGUGAUUUUUAAUUUACCGGAAUUGUACAACCACUCCACGUGGUGCGGUCGUGGAUGCCGCCACAUGGACAGACCCAAAGCUUCCACUAGAUCUUUGCUAAUGGCGUUGGUAAAGCUGCCACCAUCAAUUAUCAUCUUACAAGUAUGAUUUUUGAUCUUACACUGUGUUUUAAAAACACUCCAUCGCUGCCCCUUUGCAUCAUCAUCCCCCUGAACCUUUUCCACCAAAAGAUUUACACCCUUCAUCGGUGCAUCAACUUCUUCCUCUAUUUCUUUUUGCUCUUCUCUCCUUUUCUGCAAACGGCCCAUCCAAUCUGCCAUGAACACAUCCACUGGCAUAGGAAUAAACAGAUUUUUUGGCCCUUCCAUGAUACAGAGUAAGUAUUUUUCUUGGAAUUCCGAACAGCCCCAACACGUUUGCACCAUGGGUUCCCAAGCAGCAGAUGGCACGACACCAUGGACACAGGACAAACAUGAAAAAAAUUCCGCACACCAAUAUUUCCCCAGAUCAAAAAUUAGCAAAGUCUGAUGCGUAAUUUUGAUUUCACCUUUGAACCACUUCAGCGUGUACGGUCUUUCAAGAGGCGUCAUCUUCAGCCCCAAUUUUUCCACCACCUCGAUGCUCACCAUAUUAACUGCGGUACUUUUAUCGAUUGUCAGAUUGACACGUCGUUCGUUCACGACGCAACGAGUGUGAAAAAGAAUGACCUCGCCAAUGCCUUCCUCCUCCAUCAAUAUGUUCCUGCUCAACAUGUUGAUGCUUGACUCCGCAGACGAUAUUACAAUCUGAGUCGCCGUGACUAAACUUUGCUCUGAAUACCACUUGAUGAGACAAGGACUAGCGAGAUGCUAAUUCCUGCAUGUAGAUGGCCCGAUCUUUCACGGCGAUGCUUGAUCAACAGUUCGUCCCCCUGUUCCUCUUCGCAACCUUCAAGAUAAUUUUUACCCGCGUAUGAAAAUACACGAAUAAAAAUAAUGACCCCCUUGAAUCAGCACAUACGCGUCGAUGUGAUGAUCAACCCUCCAUUGCUAGUAAAUUUCCACGAUGGAAAAAUCACAUAUAAUACAUAAGAUAUGGUCGUCCGUAAUUCGAACGUUUUUCUGUAUAUCUCAUACUCGGAAUAAAACUCCAAAACUCCUCCAUACACGGCCGUAGCCUAGCAUUUAAAUAGCCGUCUCACGUCUCACGUUCGUGCCAACUAGAAAAAAAAAGAACUAACACAAAUAUCUUCCUAAACAAGUCGUGCAAGACUUGAACUACUUUGAAAGAAACAAAAUCUUAACAAACCAGGCAAACCGUGAUUACUACUCUAUCUAAGAAACCUUCCUAAUAAAAUAUUCUAGUUGACAAUUUUGUACGUAUGCAUGCAUUUUUGAGAUUGCAUGCAAACGCCUUGUUCCACGGCAAUCAAAAUUGCACCGAUCCCGAUCCAUCUUGGUGGAGUUCUAAACGUGGGUUGCACCUCUUCUGGUUCUGGUUCCUUGCUCGUCAUCGGUUGAAUAAUGUUGUUGUGAACCCCUAGCGCUUGUACAUAUUUAUUUUCAUCUCGUAUUUUUAGACCACAUAAUACUCGCAACUUUCCGUCCGUUCCAUGGUAAAUAUUAUGUUGCAUCACACUGGGUCUGCUCUGACAAGGUAUAUUAUAGUUCUUUGUACCAUAGUUUGAGCGAGUAAUCAAAUUACCACUCAUCUUUUUCAUUGAAUUUCCGUGUGUCACCAUGGUCAUAUCACAAGAGGUCAUUGUCUCGGCUGCCGCGCGGCCGCCACCGCCGAAGUCCUUCAUCGCGGCCGCCGUGGACACAGGGAACCAGGAGGCAGGAGUUUACGUAUCUGAUCUUUUUUUCUUUGCAGCUGUUAUACAUACUCCCUCUAUUCUCUUAUACAAGGCCAUUAUGAAAAAUACAUUUUGCAUCUAUAGAAGGCCACUAUGAAAAAUACAUUUUGCAUCUAUAGAAGGCCACUAACAGUAACUGAGACAAAGUUUAAUGAUGUUUUCUCGUACUAGCAACUUAUUUAAUACUUGCAUGCAUGUAUUCAUAAUGACACUGUGCUACUUCCUUCCUUGCGUGCAUGCAGACGUAUUAAUGAUCCCAGUUAACAAGAAGAAAAGUUGGCUUGCAAAGUAGUCAUUAAAUUUUACCUAGGUACCUGUAAUUUGAGUUUGUGGCCUUGUAUAAGGGAAUGGAGGAAAUAUCUUUUUUUUUUUGCGAAUAAGCUGUUAUACGUAUCUGAUCGUGGAGCGAUUGAAACGUAAAGUGAAGGAGCGGGAUUGAGCAGCUGGGAUCGGAAACAGAGCGGCCCCGUGGGGUUGCGUGCUUUAAGAUUGGAGUUGGGAUGGACCCGGUCUCAGAAUUUAUUUUCCCAUCUUCUCCGCCUCCGCCGCCUCCUCUGCCUCCGCCGAUGGCAGCCGCCAACACCAAGCAAAAGCAACAAGGACGUCAUGGCCUUCAACUAUCCCAGAACGCUCGUGGCGCCGAUCUCGCACUCUGCUCUCAUGGCUACGCUCGACUACGACCUCAGCGCUAUCGGCAAGAUUUUGAUGGCUAAUGAUGGUCGUUCGGCCGCGGAGCGAAUAAUGGACUACGCAAGGAAGGUGCGCUCAACUGCUUCUCGUGCCUCUUUAGCUUCUUUCCCUUUCCGAUUUUCGAGCUUUCGUUCAACAGAUGUGCGUAUUUUGGAUCGCCUGAACACAGUUGAUAGAUCCCCAUGAUCGGAGAUAUGUACGAGCUCUUUUACUGUACCCUAGGUUAAAUAUGGGCCGUUAAAUCGUAAGAGCGAACGGUUGGGAGGAGUAUUUAACCAAAAACUACCACAAUUCAUGGAAACGUACCCAGAAACUACCACUUUACAAAUUUGUGCCAAAAACUAUCACUUUUUGCCUAAUCUUUGACUAAAAACUACCAUGUCGCGAAAGUGCCCGAUUCGCCUCUCUAAACGCCUUUCUGACAGGUGGGACCCACACGUCAUCACCAACCUUCUUCUUCCUCCCCUCCUUUCUUUUUUUGGCAUUUUAACAAACACCUCUUGCGCAUGGGACGGAAGCAGGGGAGCACCUAGACACCACUCCCCCUGAGCUCGCUCGCAUGCCGCAGCCGGGUAACACCACCACCGGGCACCACGGCCGCCUUCUUCACUCCCCGGCGUUGGUUGCGGACUGGAGAUGGCAACAGCGUCGGCGCGGCGGGCGGCAUCGUGGCGGUGGAGGUGAGGCAGGGGCAGGCACGCGGGCCACGCGGGCCACGCGCCGCUGCUGCGCUCGCCGGCACUAGACCGAGGGCGGCAUGCUCCGCGACGUGCCCAUCGGCGGCGGCCGCAAGAACAAGCGCAACGGCUGUGGCAAGGGCGGCGCCAAGGCCCCCUCCCUGGCUCCCCCGUCACCACGGAGGUGUCUACUGCAGCUACCCAGGGCAGCGGUGCAGGCGCGCCGGCCGGCGCCGUUGACGGGUUCAUCCCAGCCGACUUCUUGAAGCAGAUGCUAUCCCAGUCGGGGAGCUUCACGGCCGUCGGCGGGGGUGGCGGCUACGACAUCGACCUCAGCGCAAAUGACCGGUGUCUACUGCCGCGCCGCCGCCAGGACAGUCUGCUGCUAGGACGGCGCCGGAGCCGAGGUCUUUCGCGCGGAGGAGGAGGUCUUGGGCACGGCGGCAGCGGCGGGCGCUACGAGCGGCGGCGAGGUGUGCGGCGGAACGGGGAGCAGCAGCGGGUACAAACAGCGUUGACUGAUGAUGCCAUCACUUACAUGUGGGCCAGGCCUGUCAUAAGUGUGUUUAAAAUGAACAGAUGCGCCGAUCUACAGACACGGUAGUUUUUAGUCAAAGAUUAGACAAAUAGUGGUAGUUUCCGGCACAAAUUUGUAAAGUGGUAGUUUCUGGGCACAUUUCCAUGAAUUGUGAUAGUUUUUUGUUAAAUACUCGGUUGGGAGUGAUCUGUACUGCUUCACUUGGUGAAUGGGAAUCACGAGCGGUAUAGCAUGCACAGCUUUGUUUCUGUCGUCAAGUAUAGGUUUUGUGAGGGCAUUUUGGGAAGAAAAAAUUGCACCCACCCGCGAGGUUAAAUAAAACACCAGCUCGCCUGCGUGUCGAACUGGCCCAUCCCGCUGUCGUGUCAAACUAGCCCACCGCGCCCAGUAGGAAAAAGAAACUAGGGUUCCGGCCACCGCCGGCGUGCACCCGCCGUCUAUGACGGAUCAGGAGGCUGUCGUGCUAGGCCCACCUUCCUCUCCGCCUACGCUGCGGUACCCUCCCUCCUCUUCCUCCCGGCGUGAGGUGCUCGAGGAGGACUCGCCGCCCCAACGCCAUUGAUCCCCUGGGACUGUCGCGCUCCCGGACCGGCCGACGCUCACCCGCCAACGCCCUCGCCUCGUGUUCUUCUCCACGGAGGUCCCUGCCUGCGCCCUAGGCUGGAGCUGUGCGCCGACCUCCACUCCGGCAGCGCCCGCCGCCUGAACCCGGUUUGGUCGCGUCGCCGAUUUAAGCAACACUUCUCGCUCACCGGGAACUGGACCGUCACCGCCACCCCCGGCGAGGACGGCUGGGCUGGCUAGGGCCUUGGAACCGAUGUCUACUGCUCGUUCGCUACGGAGGCUCGUUGUGCUGGGCAGGCGAGGCUACGACGACUGGCCGGUCUGCCCACUCUCUAGGAUUCCAGCCGCUGCCGGCAUGCACGGAGUCUUGAUUUCCAUGUAAGUAUGUUCGCGACUUGUGUAAAAGUUAGUUGCAGUAUUUAGCAAUUUUAUUCGGUGAUCGUAUUGGCUCAGAGUUACUGAGUUAAAUGACUACGAUUUGAGAACUAGCAGAGCAUUAUUGAAAUAGAAAAUUACUCUCUCUGAUUGUGUUCUAUAUGAGAAUUUCAUGCCUCUUAUAUGCUUGAGCCAAUGGUAGAUGUAAAAUUAGGUAAAUGGGAAGUUUGAUACAGUGAGUACAUUGCGAUUAAGUGUUUGUGCUUUUGUUUGACUUACAAUAUCUAAGAAGAAAGUACCCAUAUAGAUAGGUAUUCACUGUAAUGUUCCAUUUGCCUACGAAAUUCAAGAUUUCAUGGCGCACUUUUGCUACAGGAUGUGUAGGAUAAGGUAAAUAGUUUUUUUUGGCUAUCUUGUGUGUUUCUUCUAGUUAACGUUAUAUGAUGAAAAUUCCUGCUUGGAGGGGAAAUUGUCAGUUGCCAUUUGAACCAUCAACUUGUAGGAUUGUAGCUUAUUAUAGGAGAUUGCCUAAAUUUGUCUCUGAACUAUUUUAUUAUAACAGGAUGCACAGGGCCCUGAUAGAUUUACAUUACACUAGGAGUUAAUUAUACAUUUGAUACAUAAACUUUCACUCGACAUACAUACAGAUUCAUACAUAAACUUGAAAACUGACACAAAUCAGCCCUACAACUUGUGUUUCGGGUGCGUUUGAGUAAAUUUCUGUCAUUUGCCUUUAACUCUUCGUUAAAUUUUGCACACCAGCUAGUCCACGCUCCAUGCCUGCAUGUGGGUCUCUCACCGGUCUCAUUCAAAGGAAGAAAAUACAAACACAAAAAAGACAGUGCACUUAGAUGGAACCAAACUGAAGCCACCCAGGCGCAAGAAGUUUCUGUUAAUAGUACAGAUAAAACAUAGUCUAUAAUUUACAUAUUCUGUUAGGAAAAUUGAUUUGAAUGAUUUGCAUGGCGUUUAUUUUUUCCCGGUUUACUGGAAGUUUCGGUGAGCCCCAAAUGUUUUUCUAUCGUUCAAAAAAUAUUUGUUAAAAAUUUAAAAGGUCAUAUAUUGUCAAACUGAGCUCGUAUGCCUGCGUUUUCACAUAACAACUAUCAUCUAGUGUUACGGCGCGCGGACUAUCACCUCGAUGAUCCGCAUCGAGUCCCUUGUUUUCAAAAACUGGACAUUUUUUUAUGUGUUAUACAAUGCUUAUAAAAAAUAGAGGAAUUGUAUUAGGGAUGCUUAUAAAAAGUAGGCGAGUUGGCGAGUUGGCCGCUAUAACAAGGCAAAAAGUUUGUUAUAUAUGGUGUUUAGCAUGUUAUAAAACUCACAUAUCUUCUAAAAGAGUAUUACUACCACCUGGUUAAAAUAAACUCCUAAAAUACAUAGGCAUAAAUUCCUCAUGUUCCUUCUUUUUCCAAGCCGCAAGUUGCAAUUUAAUUGCUGAAAUUAACUCGAUUCCUCUUAUAUUCUCUCUUUGCAAUUUUGCAAAGCAUGGUUUUCAGCUGCUCCACCAUGCAAUUACACAUGUAUCCAUUUCAAUUGAUUCUCAUAAGAAACACAAAAUAAAUUGUAAAACUUCCUAAAGUUCAAUCACAACUUAAAACAUAUGAGCGUAAAGCUUGAACAAUUCUUAAACCAAAUUUUAUUCUAGAAAAACUAGCAAAUUCUGACAACUUCCAAUUCUCUCCAUCAUUCAUCCAUGACUUUGACUAUCUUCUAGUCCUCGUCAUUUCGAUGUCCUUUCAUGUUCAGUGGAGAAUACACUAGGAGGGCAGUGAGUGAUUUCCUGAACCUGGGGAUGUUGUCUUGCGUAAUAGGUUGAGUUAGUCUCACAGUUGUAACAAUGGGAAUGGUGUGGCUAAAAUAAGUAUGGAUGUCGUAUUGUUGUGUAGGCUCCAUCUACAUUGUCGCCUGUAAACUUUUCCAUGUUCUUUACCGAAAAAACCCACAUGACAUGCUGCAAUCAUAUGGAUUGUUAUAAAUAUUUUUUACUAUGAAUACUAAAUGUGUGGUUUUAAUGUUGUGUGCAGUACCUGUCUUUUUGUUGUGGUAUAUUUUUGAUAACCUAAACUGUCCAAGUGUUGAUGUCGAAAUCCUGCCAAGUAUCGACUUUUCGGCAACCAUGCCGAUAUGCUACUUCCAUAUGGAGUUGCAUGCCUUUGAGGUAUAAUAAGUUAAGAAGUAUAAUUUCUUUAAUAUGAAAAUUAACUCUCGGUAUGUAUGUACUAAGCAUUGAAAAAACAUACCAUGUUUUCUAGUUCCGGGGGGCUUUAUUAAACUGUUUUGUUGUUGAUGGCAUCGAAUCCAGAACUUGCACUGACCUUUUUCUAGCAUUGACCAUCGCCACGUACCAAUGCAUAUUCUUCAUAUUCAUAGGACAACAAACCUGCAUUUUAGACAUAAUUAGUUUUGUACCUUUUAGAAAUUGAUUGACUUAGAGUAGUGUGACUUACCAUAUCAUGGGAAAGGUACUUUUCGCUAUGAAUACUAGCAUAUGUAUUGUUCUGUAGAUAAUGGGUACAACUUGGAAUGCUUCCGUCUCUGACCAGCACAUCGCUAACUGGUGCUCUCUGUAGGUAGAUCAUCCCGUCGGCCCGUACAUCUAGAUUGGGGCGCAUGUGACGUACCCAUGUUAUGGCUGCAUCCAAGAUCUGAAUGGAAAAACAGUAAAGAAUUGAAAUAGAAAGAACAAUUUGUUAAUUAUUUAAGAAGUUAGCACAUAGCUUGCAUUGCAGCCAUCCGUCCUUACUACUUUUAAAGCUUGGAGCUGUCAAGCAUAUAAGAUCAGCGUGAUAGAGAUGAAUUUCAUCAAUUUCUACCAACACAUUCAAAGACGAGGAUUUGUUGACAUAUUCAAUGACCUCUUCAACUAUCUUCUCAUCUGGAGCAUCAUCUGUUCCUGUUAUGGGAGUACUCAUGUCUUUUGGAGUUAUCUUGCCUCUUUUAGUUCCCUUGGGUUGAUCAAAAUAAACAGAAUCCUUGUUAUUUGCAAAAGUGGAUUUCCUUUUUCUCUUCUUUUGUCCCGUCAUCAUAGACUCUCCUCCCUGCGUGUCCGAGGGAGGAGGCUUUAAAAAAAUAGCGACUCACAUGAUUAAUGUAUUUACUUACGUCUAAUUUCCGGAUAUCGUCUCUGUUAAACUCAUUUUGCUCACUAGUGGUGUCAUCCUGAGCACCCUGCAAGUCGGAGGGAGGAGCUUGUAAAAUGAGAAAAAUAACUCACAUAAUUAACAUAGUUACUAAAUUACAUCAAAGCCUAAGGCCAAGUCACGCCCAGGAAGGGACGAGGUAACAAAUUUAUGGUUGUUGUUGUACUCAUAUUUUGGUUGUCUCCAAUAGUCCUGCAUAAGUGUCUGGUUGUCAUUAUUUUAUACAUAGGAAGGAAGGAGUGAUUAAGUGCGUGUUUGGAUGGUAGUGUACUUACAUUGGUUUUCAGGUUGGCGUGUAGCUAGUUCCUCACAUCUGCAUUUUUCUUGCCUAGGUGCUUGAAUUUCUGCAGCAUCCUAUAGACUCGCGUACAAAUGUUGCGCAAAUACACGCACUCGGAGAAGGAAAAUGCAGAUAUGAGAAACUAGCUAUACGCCAACUUGAACGCCAAUUUAAGUACCCUACCAUCCAAACAUGCACUUAAUCACUCUUUCCUUCCUAUGUAUAAAAUAAUGACAACCAGGCACCUAUGCAAGACUAUUGGAGCCGACCAGAAUAUGAGUACAACGACAACGACAAAUUUGUUACGUCGCCCCUUUGUGUGGGCAUGACUUGGUCUCAGACUUUGAUGUAAUUUAAUAACUAUGUUAAGUAUGUGAGUUAUUUUUCUCAUUUUACAAGCUCCUCCCUACGACUUGCAGGGUGCUCAGGAUGACACCAAUAGUGAGCAAAAGGAGUUUGACAGAGACGAUGCUCGAAAAUCAGAUGUAAAUAAGUACAUUAAUUAUGUGAGUUGCUAUUUUUUUAAAAAACUCCACCCUCGGACACGCAGGAAACGGGAGGGUCUAUGGUGACGGGACAGAAGAAGAGAAAAAGGACACCCACUUUUGCAAAUAAAAAGGAUUUUGUUUAUUUUGAUGAACCCAAGAGAACUAAAAGAGGCAAGAUAACUCCAAAAGACAUGAGUACUCCUAGAACGGGAACAAGUGAUGCUCCAGAUGAGAAGAUAGUUGAUGAGGUCAUUGACUAUGUCAAUACAUCCCCGUCUUCGGAAGUGUUGGUAGAAAUUGAUGAAAUUCAUCAUAUUGCGCUGUUCUUAGAUGCUUGACAGCUCCGAGCUUUAAAAGUAGUACGGACGAAUGGCCGCAAUGCAAGGUAUGUGAUAACUUCUUAAAUAAUUAACAAACUGUUAUUUUCUAUUUUGAUUCCUUACUGCUUUGCGAUUCAGAUCUUGGAUGCAGCCAUAAUAUGGGUACGUCACAUGCCCUCCAAUCCAGAUGUAUGGGCCGACGGGAAGAUCUACAUAGAGAGGGCAUUAGUUAGCAGUGUGCUAGUCAGAGAUGGAAGCAUUCUAAGUUGUACCCGUGAUCUACAGAAUAAACAUAUGCUAGUAUUCAUGGCAAAAAGUACUUUUCCCAUGAUAUGGUAAGUCAAACUAGUCUAAGUCAAUUUCUAGAUGGUACAAAACUAAUUAUGUCUAAAAUGCAGGUUUCUCUUCGUAUGAAUAUGAAGCAUAUGCAUUCAUAUGUGGCGGUUGUCAAUGCCAAAAAGGGGGAGCGGAAGUUCUGGAUUCGAUGCCAUCAACAACAAAACAGUUUAAGAAAGCCCACCCGAAACUAGAAAACAUGGUACGUUUUUCAGUGCUUAUACAUACAUACAUACCGAGAGUUAAUUUUGAUAUUAUAUGUCUUAUACUUAUUAACUUAUUAUACCUCAAAGGCAUUCAACUCCAUAAGAAAGUAGCAUAUCAGCAUGGUUGCCGAAAAGUCGGUACUUGGCAGGAUUUCGACAUCAACACUUGGACACUUCAAGUUAUCAAAAAUAUACCACAACAAAAAGACAGGUACUGUACACAACAUUUAAAACCACACAGUUAGUAUUCAUAGUGAUUUUUUUAUAAUAAUCCAUAUGAUUGCAGCAUGUCGUGUGGGAUUUUAUUUGUAAAGAAUAUGUAAAAGUUUACAAGCGACAAUGUAGAUGGAGCCUACACAGCAGUACGAUGUACACACUUAUUUUAACCACACCAUUCCCAUUGUUACAACUGUGAGACUAACUCAACCUAUUACGCAGGACAACAUCCUCGGGUUCAAGAAACAACUCACUGCCCUCCUAGUGGAGUCUCCAUUGAACAUGAAAGGACGGUGAAACGACGAGGACUAGAAGAUAGUCAAAGUCAUGAAUGAAGGAUGAAGAGAGUUGAAAGUUGUUAGGAUUUGCUAGUUUUCUAGAAUAAUAUUUGGAUUAAGAUUAGUUCAAACUUUACGCUCAUAUUUUUAAGUUGUGAUUGAACUUUAGGAAGUUUUACAAUUUAUUUAGUGUUUCUUAUGAGAAUCAAUUGAAACGAAUACAUGUGUAAUUGCAUGGUGAAGCAGCUGAAAUCUAUGCUUUGCAAAAUUGCAAAGAGAGAAGAUAAGAGGACUCUACGAGUUAAUUUCAGCAAUUAAAUUGCAACUUGCCGCUCGGAAAAAAGAAGAAACAUGGGGAAUUUAUGCCUCUGUAUUUUAGGAGUUUAUUUUAACCAGGUGGCACUAAUACUCUUUUAGAAGAUAUGUGAGUUUUAUAACAUGCUAAACACCAAGCGCUGCUUAAAUCGGUGAUGUGUCCAAGCCGGGUUCACGCGGCGUGUGCUGCCGGAGUGGAGGUCGCACACAUCUCCAGCUUGGGGCGUAGGCAGGGACCUGCGCGGAGAAGAAGACGACAGGGUUCCAGGGGAUCAAUGACAUCGAGGGUGGCGAGUCCUCCUCGAGCUCCUUGCAUUGGGAGGAAGAGGGAGGGUGGCGUAGCGUAGGUGGAGAGGAAGAGGGGCCUAGCUCGGCAGCCUCCUGAUUCGCUAAUAGAUGGUAGGUGCACGUCGGCGGUGGCCGGAACCCUAGUUUUUUUCCUACUGAGCGCGGUAGGGAACAAAAUGGGAGGGCAAGGACGGGGUGGGGUAGUUCGACCCGACGACAGGAUGGGCUAGUUCGACACACAGGCGGGCUGAUUUUUUUACCUCGGGGGCAGGCUGAAACUUUUUCUUCCCAAAAUGCCCUCACGAAAUAUAUACUGGAUGACAAAAACGAAGCGGUGCAUGCUAUACCUAUCACGGUUCCCAUUCGCGCAGUGGAGUAGUAUAAAUCACUCCAACUGUUCACUGUUAUGAUUUGACGGCCCAUACUUAACCCAGGGUACCGUAAAAGAGCUCGCAUACAAAAUGAGCUCAAACCUAGGCCCGUGACAAAAAUAAAACAUAUUUCCCUUAAUUUUUAUGCCUAUUCCUACCCUCAAGAAAUCAAUGGUCCGAUUGAGUUAUACUGGUACCUCCCGUAUCAUCGGUAUAGGGUACCAUAAAAAUGCUCUUAGGUUAAUUUCGGGUUCGCACAAUCGACAAGAUGGAGAUGGUGAGGGGAACGGAUGUUAUGAUGACUGAGACAUUUAUUAUUGUUUUCAGUCAUUUGAACUGCAGUUCUAUUCUUGGUUUUCCGUUUGUGCUCUUACUUUCCCCGAACAACAUGAACCAACAUAAUUUUGAGAUGUCACCCUUUUUUCUGUCUAGAAUUUAGCUUCAUUCAAGAAGCCUUCACCUCUAGUACCUCUGCGCGACGAUAAGGAUAAGCACGACGAUGAGGAGGAGGAGGAGGAGGAGGACGACGACGAUGAGGAGGAGGUAAUAAUUUUAGUUCAAUCUUCUAAGGCUAGAAUACUAUGUUUUUUUCCUGGCUGAAUUCACUGGAUUUUAUUUUACUUUUGUCCGCGGUUUAAUCACUACUACUAAUUUAUAUAUACCGCUAAUCAGUGGAUGAGUGAUGAAAAGGAACCUGGUAAUGGUGUGGAACUGCAAGCCCGGGACGAGGAGGACGGGCUUGAGAUGGUAACACUCUUUAUUUUAAUCUAGAUGCUACAAUACCAGAAUUUUUUGCCAGCUGAAUUCACUAGAUUGAUUUUAUUUUUGUAUGCUUUUAACAAAUUUCCCAACUAAUCUGCGUACCUCUAAUCAGUUGAUAGGCGAUGAAAAGCGACUGCUAGUGAUGCUGAACUGCAAGUCCCUGGUGAAGGUGAACAAGAAUGCAAGAAAGGCAAGAUUAUUAGUAAGCUUUGAGUGCGAGGAAGAAGAAAUUGAGGCUAGACGACCAAAGAACUCUCUUUAGUCGAUGAUGAUAUUUGUGUAAACACAUGCAUGCUCGUUAUUGCGGCACAAUUAACUCUUGGAUCUGAUUAUGUAUUUCAAAAUGUGAUAUUUAUACUUAGAUUCAAAUAGUAAAAAUUUAAUAAAUCUACCGCCUAAUUAAUUCAUUAGCUCGUUCAUCGAGACAAAUUAGUAUCAUUGCAUUUUUUAUUUGAUGUUAGCAGUGUGGCCAUGAAUCCUUGAUUAUGUAGCUAUAAAUAUUACUGGGAAAAUGAAUUUUAGUCGAUAAAAUUGGAGUCAUGUUCCAAACAAUUGAAACACUGCCAAUCAGAUUAUUACCAUAAUGGAUACAUAUUAUUACUUGAUGCUUGUUUUUUUUUCUAAUUACUAGCGAAACAGGUGCUGCCAAAUGUAUGAAAUUGGAUUGUAUAAGCGCUUUGUUAUACUUGUUUUUUUUUUGCGGGGAAUACUUGUUGUGUUGUCCAUGUUCCAUGUUGUAGCACUUGGAGAGAAAUGGUUUAAUUCUGUUGCAUUUAACAUGAUGAAACAUGUAGAUCGUAGUCUGCUUUAUUUUGUGAGAUCCUUAUUAUUUAACUUGGGCUUGAACACUUGGGAGUUAGCUGGCUUGCUUUUCGAUAUCUACAGCCCACUGUGAUGGCAAUUAUAGAGAAAGAUAGAGUAACUAAUAAAAUAUCUUUGUUACUUAGGUCAUUUAGUUGAAUGGAUUUAUUUGAACUUUCAUUCAUCAAAAUUUUCAAUGCUGCAAACCAUCUCCCAGCUAGGACGUGACAGAAUGGAUGCUUUUGUACAUUGAACAUAUUGACACGACUGUGAACUUGGUGAGAGUUUAACAAAAUAAGUGGCGAAGUCAUGUUCUGAAUUACAAAAUUUGGAAUAUAUGCUUAAAUAAGUCAUUUCCCUUUUUAAAUAGGGACAAAAUACACAUUAUAUCAUUAAAAGUCUGCACAACUCCUUACUCUUAGGUGUCUGCACUCUAUAUUUUUAUCGGGUGCCUUUAUUCUGUUUCCACAUUUUUACUUAAGUGUCCAUGCUUUGUCCAUGGCCACUCAGAAUUUUCCAAUACACUUAUUGCAUGUAUGCUUUUCAACUUUCUUGAUUAAACGGAGUCGUCAAACUGAUUCUUACGAUGUUGUUUGGUUGUUCUGGCAGUAUCUGGUGACAUGAGAAGUCAGAAGAUGCAACAAAACUGUUGGUUGCGGCCAUGGCUGCAGUACUGGGUCUUAUAAUAUUCAACAUCAGCUAUCGCAGGCCUUGUGUUAUGUGCAACUUUUAUGAUUGUGUCCUGAAAAAUGCCUAUGUUUCUCAUUUGAGUAGAAUGGAUACCACCAUCUAUUUUAGUUAUACCAAAAGAAAAAUAAGCAUGUCUCCAUUUCUCAUUUGAGUAAAAUGGAUACAUCAUCUUGGACAGGUGAACGUGAAUAAAUCAAGGUGUCAUGCAUUUCAGGUCUACAUAGGAAAAUUUGGGUACUCAGCUGAAACAUCCACGUGGACCCCAAGGCUCUGAUUUCUGCUGAAUUUACCUCGAUGUACUCUUCCACAAAACAUAUCAGUUCGUUCUCCCGUAAAAAAAGAACGACAUGAGGCAAGAAGCGCGGCAGAGGAGCUGAGAUCCACGCAGCCAGCGGUAGACACGACCACCGAUGGCCACGUCUAGGCCCUCUAUCUCAUUCACUCCAUUGCUCGAACCAUGUUCCCUCUGCCCUGCUGCCCUGCACCACAUCAAGCGUGGCAGCCAUCGGUGCCCUCUACCGCACCGUCUUGCAUGGCCUCAAGUGCAGCAGUCAUCGGUGCCCUCUGCUGUGAGCCCGUCCCUUCCCCCCGACCUCUCCAUCUCAUCUGGAGAGGUAGCCCUCCCCUAGUCUUGUUGAUCCUCUUCUUUCUCCUGCUUCUCAAGCCGGCGAGGUAACCAUCCCCUAGCUUCCUCGACACGCCAACCAUUAGACUUCGACGCAUUGACCGUUGAAUCCAGGUGGUUGGCGAUGGGGACAUGUGAUGGUGUCCUGGCUAAGGGGCCUCUCACCACGUCGACUCCUGCCCGAUGGGACGGACUGAGAACCCUUUGUCGGUUCCAUCCUGGGCCACUCUGCAGCCAUGACAAUUACAAGGAGAUUCAGAAGACUUGGUGUAUACUCCAAGAUGCUGAAUCCAUGGAGGACUAUGCCUCCCUGUACGACUAGGAAUUUUUGAAAUUUAUUUAAUAUUUUUAAUGACUUUUUUGUUCACUCCCGAGCUCAUCGUAGCCUGGGAGCCAAAACGCUGCUCUCAUAUCCUGGCAGCUAUAAGCAAUAUAUAGGAGCUCCAAAUGGUAGCUAUAUACGGGCCAAAGCUAGAAAUAUCACACUGAUUGCCCAGAGGCAUCCAACAUUAGUCAUAGCCCAUUUCGCCAUUUCCCACCCCCUUAUAUUAGUUUCAUAUUUUCCUCAGAAUUUCGUUUUAUUUUUGCAUAUGAUUUUAUUUUUAUGGGUUUCCUUGUUUAUUUUAUUUUAUUUAUUUUAUUAUUUCAUUUUAUAUUUUCUAAAAUAAAUAUAAACAGUUUCUACAAAGACCACAAUUUAAAAAAGUACAAGGUAUUUUUAGAUACACGAAUUUUUAAUAAGAAUACAUGAAACAUUUUUUGUGGGCAUUUAAACCUUUUAAAAUGAGACGAGCAUUUUUCCAUAAAUACAUGCACAAUUUUUAAAUAAAAUGAAUAUUUUUUAAAUUAAAAAAAUGGGCAGCCCGGUGCACGUAGCCCCCGCUUACACAGAGCCCGGGAAAAAAUUCCCUAACUCCAUUACCAAUUUUUUUAGAAAUACAGAAACACUUUUAUAAAUUUUGAUAAAAAUAAAAAAAAUCUUAUUAUUCCCUAAUUAAUUAUACUUUUAAAAUUUGAUGCACACAAUUCAAAAAUUAUAUUAGUUUGCAUGCUUACAUUAUUGAAUGUUUUUAUUAACAUCCCAUUUAUUUCCCAGUCAAACGUCCUAGGUGAGGUCGUUGCGUAAAUGUGUCAGUAUCAUAAGAACGCGCCUGGGGUGGGUGCUAACGACCACAAGAGGCAGAAUAUGGUCGCUAUAGACGAUUUUGCCCACAUCUAUAGAUGCAUACACAACUGAAGCUUUGGCAAUCAAGAAAGGACUUGAACUUGCAAAGUUUUGGGUGUCUAUAAACUACUGGUCCAUUUAGAUUGUGUGGAGUCGGCGAAAGAAAUUCAGCAAGGAGUGAUCAACUCGCAACCCAUAUUCUUAAUGAUUGCUUCAUUUUUCGUAAUAAAUUUGGCCAUGUUAUUUUUGAGCAUUGUGCACGAGAGACGAAUCGUGUGGCUCAUGAACUAACUAGUAGGGCUAGGGUUGAAUUUUUCCAUUUUCCUUUUAUUUACAUUUUCUUUUGAGUUGAUUUUUGCAUUUUUAUUUUGAUUUUAUUUUAUUUUUGUCUUUUAAAAUAAAAAAUAUUAUAAACAAUUGUGAACAUUUUUUCCAAAUACAGGAACACAUUGGACAAACAUACGGACAUUUCGUAAGAUACUACAUAAACCUUCUUAAAAUGGAUGAACAUUGUUAAAGGGUAUGGACACUUUCCAAAAUUACAUGAGCAUUUAUUUCAGUAAAUAAACAUUAAAAAAUACAUGAUUUUUCAAACGGUGUGAUCAGUUUUAAGAACUACACGAACGACUUUGAAAUUACGUGAAUAUUUUUAAAAUGCGUAAACAGUUUUUAAAUUUCAUGAACAAUUGUUAAAAUACGAAAACACUUUCUGAAUUACGUGAAUAUAUAUUAAAAUUCAAAUACCUUUGAAAUCCUGCGGGUGAUUGGGGAACUAUGGACGCUUCGAGCGUUAAAUAGAAUUAUGCUUGGUGGGUACAUUUGCGACAUAACAUGAUGUGAAUUUGCCUCCCGCUCUUUGUUAGUGAAAUCCCCAUUUGACGCAUUAUGCUUCCAACUGUCCACCUUUCGCGGGAAUAACUAAUGAAGGAGUACACCUUCGGGAGCCCCCGCAAGGGCCACCUGGGGUGGGCUGAGAGUGUGUUACUUGGCGCGCUCUCAGCCGCCGUCACGUGUUGCGAUUUGGGUGCUUCAUUUGUUUUUUUUUUCCGUAUGAGUUUUCGGGGUUUUGGAUGGUUUAUUUUGGGGGUUUGGGUUUUCGUUUUCCCCCCAUGUCUUUCUUAGGUUUUUGACAAAAAACAUUCUGAAUUUUUUCAUGUGCGGAAAAAUGCAUUUUCUUUUUUUGCUUCCGCAAAAGGCAUGGUCAUGCCCCUCGGAAUGAAAAAACACAUUUUUUUUUUCACGAGAGGCAUGAAUUUGCUUCCGCGAGAGGCACAACCGUGCCUCUCGAAAAUGGAAAAACAUGUUUUUUCCUUCACGAGGGGCGCGGAUUUGCUUCCACGAGUGGCACAGUCGUGCUUCUCGGAAACGAAAAAAACACG
RNAcentral lists this long non-coding RNA (80568 nucleotides) under Triticum aestivum (bread wheat). RNAcentral describes it as "long non-coding RNA (TAES_LNC015149)". Lineage: Eukaryota; Viridiplantae; Streptophyta; Magnoliopsida; Poales; Poaceae. The record is from RNAcentral.